Molecule: long non-coding RNA, 81145 nt
Filed under: Glycine max (soybean)
Lineage: Eukaryota; Viridiplantae; Streptophyta; Magnoliopsida; Fabales; Fabaceae
Description: long non-coding RNA (GMAX_LNC000657)
Source: RNAcentral
UGUCCUUUAUGUUCAUGCCACUCGCGGCGAAGGUAGUAAUGUGUUCUAGUUUUCUCUUCGCAUUCUCCACAUCCCUCGUGUUCUCCUUUGAGGUGCUUGCGCUUUCUGAUUUCUUUUUCUUCUACCACCUCUUCUUUCUUCUCGGGUCUUGGGUUUUUCUUCUACUUUGCUUCUCUAAUUUCGUGUUCCAAGGGUGGCCUGAUAAUUCUAAGACCUCUUUCCACCUUUAUGAUUUGGUCCCCUGCAUGUGACUGAAGCUUCUUUGUGAUCCCCACCUUCACGUUGGAUGCUUCUGCCAAGAAACGUGGAUCGAAGCCACCGAACAUGUUUCUAUUGUUACCUUCUUCUUGCUUGCACCCACCACUACCAGGGUGCUCUUCUUUUGGGUUCCCAGGAAGAUAACUCUGCAACAUGCCACCAAAUUAAACGAGUAUAAUAAUAAAAAAAAGGUUUAAUAUGCAUCACGAAAUAUAUGAUGACCAUGUUAAGUUUGUUGGGUUUUUUUGGACUGGGUUUUUUUGGACUCCUUUCUAAUAUGGAGUAAAAGUCCAAAAUGAGAAGAGAAUAUAUUUCACUUAUUUAAAUUGAGAGGAGUUAGAUUAAAAAGAGAUAUAGUGAGAGAAACUCUUUUAAAAAAGAAAAAUAAUUACAAAUUAUUAAGAGAGAAAGAAUAAAAUGAAAAAUUAUUGUGAUGGGAUCAAGAAAAACAUUCUGAUCGAAAAAAAGAUAUCUAUAGAAAGAUAUUAGUGUUUGGUAUUGUACUCUUUAUAUUUUAGAGUUUUAUCUUCUUGUCUCUAUUAUUAAUUGUGGGGUUUGUUUUGAUUUGAUUAUUUGUAACAUAUUAGUAUAUUUAUUGGAGGUUCUCUUGUAUCUUUAUUGAUUAUAAUGAAAUUAUUUAUUUGAUCUGAUUUUUAUUCUUAUAUUGAGAAAUUUUUCAUGUUAAACAAAUUAUAUUUCUAUUUUUUUUUUAUUUUAUUCUUUAUGUUUCUCACAUAUCCUUAUAAGUUUAGAAGAAUUUAUUUAUGUUUUUUAUUAGUUGUUAUAGAGUUUGUUGUUGUGUUGGUGUAUUUCUGCGUUAAAGUUGACAAUGAAUUUCUUACUCUGGCAACUCGAUCAAGCUGGUUUGCCGAAUUGGCAGUGUGAAGGAGUUACAACAAGGGAAACAUUUGCGUAGUUGUAGGUCCAGUAAGGAAUUCCAGGUGGAACAGCGAAUAUGUCACCCUGCCUCAGGUAACGAACCUUCUGGUGGCGAUCAUGUUCCUGUUCCUGCUCAUGCUCACUCUCCGGUUGUGGCUCUUCAUAAGUCUCGUCACAACCAGGAAUUACAAUUCCCAACACUCCCUCUCCUAUGGAAAUAAUUAAGUUGAUGGAUAAGAAGACUAAUAAAUUGAUGAGGAGGAAUGGAUUGUGUUGUGUGCAUAUAUAUCAAGUUGUUGAACAACCUUGGAGUACGAAAUGGAGUUCGGGGUAAUUAACGUAGGAUGGCAAGUGAAGGCAUUGGGGUUGAUAAAAGCAACGCCAGUGCAACAUAGCUCAUGUUGGGAAUUGAGGGGAGUAAUCAAUCACAUAAGGGAAUCGCAAACACACACUUUAACCUAAAAUCAUAAACCUCAUGUUGGUAAGUCUUUUUUCGGGUGUUUAAUUUUUUCAUUUUCACACUUGUAUUUUAAGAUAUGAUGCCACCUUGGGAUUCGAUGGGAUUGUGAGGGUUCAGUGCAUGGAUGAUAUCGAGUUGGGACUGCUGCUUGAACUGGCAUUGAUCACGAGCUAAGCACCUGCACGUGAACUAGAGCAGAAAGCAGAGGAGCGCAGAAUGCUUGAGCAUACUGAACUGAACAGUAGUUGCGAGGGAUAUAGCUAGCAAAGGAGGAAUUGCUACGUGCUGAUUAAUUUAUAGAUUAGAGAGACACGUCACUGGACCCUGCAUGUAUUCCAAACCCUGAUUUCUUACCCCUUAUCAACUUUAUUGGCCUUGCGGUGCCUCUUCACAGAAUCAUCCAACAAUCACCCAAAUUCUUUUUCUGUUUCCUCAUUCAUAAUUAAUUUCUGCUACCUUAACCUGUGCUUUAUCAAGACCAACGAAAUUUAGAUAUCUUCUGAGCCCUACCUAGUACCUACUGUUUCUAUGCUCUAUAUCUUGUAACUGUGCAAGAUAAUAGUGUAUAUUGUUCCUUUUUAAUUGGUAUUUUGAGCCUCUAGCGUAUUUAUCCUGGCCAUCUCAUUUAGCCUUAAAAAAAAAUUUAAUAUGGUUUAGAAACAUAAAGUGCAUGUCGAUCCCUUUAUAUUAUAGGCUUAGACUCAUUUUCCUAGUAGUAAUUUAUUUAGUUAUAAAAAAAAUAGCGUAACUCAUAAAUUUUUACAUGUAUAAUUUCAUUCUUGAUAAUAAAAUAUUUAAUCAUAAAUUUCAUCACUUUAAAAUUAAAUUUAAUUAAAAUUAAUUUUAUUAAUAUUCAUUCCAAACAUGUACAUGUAAAUUUUAGAUAUCUAUUAUUUGAUUUAUUUUUCCUUUUUUAAGAUUGUGUACGUACAUUAAUUGUUGGAUAGAAUCGAGUUUCACAUACAUGCAUUCAUGUCUAUCUAAACUAAGUAGGAAUGUAGGUACUGAAUAAAGACAGCUGUUGUUAAAUGAAUAGAUAUGUCGUGUCUCCAUUCUUCCGAGUGAAUGCCCAUAAGAUCCAAAUUACUUAAACCUUUGUUUGGGCAGGUGGCUGUGAACUAUAGUCCAUCAAAUAUGCUAUUCAACACUCAGGAAGUGAAAAAGAAAAAAAAUAUAGAUGUAAUAAAUUUUAUAAUGUAAUAUUAAAAUAAAAAUAAAAAUAAAUAUAAAAUGCUAAACAUUUUUAAAAAAUACAAAAUGUUAAUGCGAUAUUUAACAUAGAUUAAUAUUUUCAGUGGCUCAAUUUCUUUUUUAUCUGUAUCUCUUCUCUUGAACUUGAGAUCUAUAUUUUGCUGCAGACGAUGACAUGGAGCCCGAAGAAAAGUACCACAAGCAAUUACGUAUACAAACGCAUAUGAAACCGAUUAAUUAAGGUUCUUACAAAUAAAUUAGAGCAAAUAGUCUGGGACACUUUGUUUUUCAUGAACUCAUAUAUAUAUAUAUAUAUAUAUAUAUAUAUAUAUCAAAAGCACAAAUUUUCUUUUAAGUUUACAUACUCAUAUGUAAAAUUGAGCUUAAGUGAAAAGAAAAAACAAACGAUAUAUAGUUAUUGAGGAUCAAAUUUGUGUUAUGUCACAAAAUUCUACAAUAAAAACCACUUAUUUAUCUAUCUGUAUCUAUUAUACAAAUAUUUUGCGUUUCUAUUUAUGAAUUUAUUUAUCAAUAUCUGCAGGUAUAAUUGCAUUUUACGAAGACUUAUUUACAAGAAAAUAAAUGUAUACACUAUUUAUAUUACACUAUUGUUAUACUAUUUUUUAAAAUAAUAUAAUAACACAUUUUAAUUAAAACACAUAUUUUACUUUUACCUUUUUUAAAUUAAAAAAAAAUGAUAACUAUAUUUGUAAAAUCAGAAAAAUGUAAAAAUAAUGGAAAUAUUUAAUGUAAAAAAUAUUGAUUUCCUUAUGGAAAAAUUAAAAUCGACUAAUUGGCAUGAAUAAUAAUUAUUAUUAUUAUUAUUAUAUAUAUAUAUAUAUAUGAUAACAAUAUUAUUAAUAUUGUUAUAUGUAUCUAAAAAAAAAAAGAAAAAACUCUCUUUCUUGGGGGUGUGACACUUUCAAUUUUAGUCUUUCAUGCUCAUCAUGUCCUGCAAUCGCUUCCCAAAGAUAUCAUCGGUCAAGCUACUAUCUCUUAGACCAAUUGUUAUCAACAAUAUUUCCUUAUUUUGUUCUGCAAGAAGGAUAGAAAAGAAUAAAAAGAAAAGAAAAGAGAUUGGACAGAAAAUUUAUUGGAAUUUCUUCUUUUAUUUAUGCUUUUCCCGCAUAGGUACUUGAGUGACUCAUUACACAAGGGUACAUAGUUACUAUACCCGUUAUUCUACACUUAACAAAGGGCAUCUAAGCCUUUGUUUCUUUUAUUCAUUCUUAUUUACUGCUACCAGCACUAGCUAGAGCCCAAAAGGACAAAAGUGUGGUAGCACAUGCAAAAAGGGCUCUCUAAGCCACAGCUCUCCUCUGAGACUCCUGAGGUGGAACCAGGAAGCUGAAAGGGUUGUUGUUCUUCACCUGCCUGGCCUGCUGGCUCUUUAGGUUAAAAGUGUGCUGAAUCACUUCCUCUGGCAAUGCGUUCAACAAUGAGUUUGCCCCUGCAAGGUUUCCGAUCGAGGGUCUAUCAUUGGUCUUGAAUGACACAUACUCAAAGUUAUCGCUCUGGGAUUUUGCAGCCACCGCAAAGUUUUGUGGAACGAUCAGCACCCCUCCCUCUUGCAGCUCUCCAUCAAACACUCUCUCACCAUUGCAAUUCACCACUUGUACCAAUGCCCGCCCAUUCAAUGCGUAUAUUAUGCUGUUCGCGUUCAGGGUGUAGUGUGGCACGAACAUAGCAUUCUGCACCAUACAUCAAUAUCCAUGCAAGUGUACGUUAAUCACAACAUGUUAUUCAUCCAAUAUUUUUAUAAUAUUAUUAUUUUCCUUUUAUCUUUUCAUCAUGAUAUUAAUUAAUUAUCUCACUAUCUUAUACCUUUUCUUCCUAAUCCUAUGGAAAUUAUUAUCAGGUAUUUUAUCACAUGUCAAUAUAUAGUCUCAUAGAAAAAUAUGUUUUUGUGAAUCAGAAUAUUUUUGGCACAAAAAUAUUUUUCUUUUUUUUUAAUCAAAGUAUUUUUUGGUUAAAAGUCAAAAACAAAUUUUUCAAGGUUGAAAAAAAUUUCAUACUCAUGAGUCAUAUAUCUAAAGGACAAAAUUAUCUACUAAUUGUAUCACAUGUAACAAAAAUUAAUAACACAUGCAUAAUUACAUCUCAUGCAGAGAUUAAUUAGAUUAGUAAAAUCGACACAAGAAACUGUGACUACUUAAUAACUUCGGGCAUUUCUAUAUAUAAAAAAAAAGCACAUGAAUAAUGCAUAUGCAAGUGCUAAGAUAACUUUGUCGUCACACAUUUUAAUUACUAUAUAUAACUAUUACCAUUUUUUAACAUUUGUUGAGCUUAAUUUAUAACAUGUAUGAUGUACGUACCUUGCGGAGUGAUCCAUACUGGGCACUGAGUUUGAGAAGCCAGAGGGCUGGGAAGUCAAGGCUGGUGGCGGUUGUGAUGCUACCAGCUUGAGGGUUGUAGAUGUCAGGUGAUGAAUUCUGACCAAUGUUUUGGCGAAGUCUCAUUGUGCAAAUGGUCUCAUCAAUGCCAUUUCUGCUCCUUUUGCUUUGGCGUUGGCAACCUUUGUCUGUCUCCACGCACUGUGGCUGCUCUUCCUCAUCAUCAUCAUCUUCUUCUUGCUGUGGCUUCCUCAUGGCUGGAGCUGUGACUCUUAGACCUCCUUUCACUGUCACAAUGGCUCCACUAUCCUCCUCUUCGUUCUCACCUUGUAGGUUUCUCACUAUCUGCAUGUUCACGCCGAACGCUUCUUUCAAGAAUUCAGGGGCGAAGCCACUCAAUAUGUUGCUUCCUUCGUUUUCUUCUUCUUGUUGCUUUCCUUUCUGGCUUUGGGAACCUCCUUGCUGCUGCUGCUGAUAUUUUAGAAACUCUUGCUCUUGGUUCCCAGCAAGAUAGAAUCUCUGCCAAGAAUUGUCAAAACAAAUAGUUGUCAAUCCGUAACCAGCUAGUAUUAGAACUUAAGAAUUCUAAUCUUAACGUUACAAUGUAGUCCAGUUUCCUUUUUUUAUCAGCUACAAUAUUGUCCAUGUAUUUCAAGACAAGAACCAAAUUGGAUAAAAAAACACAACUAUAAGGAUCCAAUUGGCAUAUUUUAAUCUAUAGGUACUAAAUUAGAAAGUGCAACUCCACGAACUAAAAUGAUAUUUAAACCUUUAAAGAAUUAUAAUAUCUAAUAUUGCUAUGUGGCUCACCCUAGGCAUCUGGUCGAGCUGGUUCUCCAAGCUGUUGGUGUCAAUAAUAGAAACGGCAACAACAGGAGUGUCUUCAUUGUUGUACAUCCACCAUGCAACACCAGUAGGCACUGCGAUCAAAUCACCCUCUCUGAAGCGAUGUACCUUUUGGUGACGGUCUUGGGGCCUCUGGCUUCGUCCUCGUUGCUGAGAUUCUUGCGGCUCUUGAUAAGUGCUAGGACAACCCGGGAAUAUCAUGCCAAAAAUACCAUUACCUAUUCAUAUAUAUUACACAACAACACAAAGAAAAAAAAAACAUUAGCAUAACCAUUUUCUUUUCAAAAUGCAUGGUUUCACAAAACUGAGAAAUUGAAACAAGUUAUUAUUAAUUUGAAUAUAUAAGAUAGGUUGGACGGUUAAGAAGAAAAACAAAAGCCACAGUUUCAAUCAAUUUUACUAACAAAAACUAACCAUUAACAUCUGAUAAAAAAAAAAUUAAACAAGAUUAUGGACCUUGUUGUAUGUAGAUUUCCUGGGGACCGUUGGUGUAGGAAGGUCUACGAAGGGCAUUGCGGUUAAGGGUGCAGCGAGAGAGGGCAACACCGGCACACUGGAAUGGCUUGUUGUUAGGGUUCCAGGUCUCAAUGAACCCACCUUCCGACUCUAUACGGUUAUCCGGUUUGAGGGCAUUCAGCUUUUGGAUCUGGCACUCAUUUUGCUGUGCCUGCUCUCUCAGAGCGAAGCAGCCACUGAAAAGAAGGAAACAAAGGGAAAGAACAAGCUUGGCCAUGGUGAUGAGUGUUCAAAGACAAUGGAGAGAAUGUUUGUGUUGUGAAGCGGAGAACCUGAGGCGUGGUUAUUUAUAGGGAAGAGAGGAAGGUGGGUGAGGGACACGUCACAGGAGUGGGGUGCUGAGCUUGAGACAUUCUUCAGUAUGCAUGGCUAUGGAAGCCUUGUGUGUUACACCUCAUUAAGUUCAUGGGUGUGAGGUGGCUUCGACAGUUCGACAUCAACAUUAUGUGACAAAUACCAAGUGUGUUUGUAUUGCAUGCAAUUGCCAGAAAACGGUGGUGGAGAGGGGGACCAUGGUUUCAUUUCAUGUUCGCGGGUUUAUGACAUAUGAAAUUAUAUGAAUACACCGUGUGACAAUGAUGGGAUCCUCAAAGUGAGAAGAAGGGCCGUCCAAAAAUGACCUCACUCUAGGGAUAGAGAAAUUAUUAGGUGUUAUGAAAUUAUCACUAUUCAUGGUUUUGACAGAUCUUUAUGUGAUACUAGUUACUCAAUUUUUUUUAAUUUAAUUAGGAAAUAAUUAAUCAUACUUUAAUUUACAUAUCAUAAAGAUUAGUGGAGAAUAAUUUGUACUGUAUAUAUAAUAAUUUCUUGGAUAGAGAAAUUAUAUAUUAGGGACAUUUUGUUUUUUGGAUUAUCCUCGUUUUGAUUGUCAAUAUAAAAAAAAAGUAAGCGAAAAUAAGAAGAAAAUGACUAAGUUUUAAACAAUUAUAUUAGUUAAACAAAAAUACUUAUAUGUUUUAGGUCUAUAAUAAAUAUGAUUAAUUUUAUUUUGAGUUCUAAUUUUAAUUUUUUUUUCUUUGUAUUGGAUUCUUAUAUCUUAAAAAAUUUAUUUUGACUCUUUAUCAUAGGUAGGUUAGUAAUGACAUAUCAAUCAAUUAACAAAUUACAAAGUCAGAGUUUAAAAACUGUGGGUAUUUCUGAUAGAAAAUAAUCUGGAUUGUCUCUAACUCAUUAGCCUCUCGAUUUUGUCAGGUUCGGGCUUAGUGAAUGCAACGGAUUCUUGGGUGUGUUCCAAUCUGCGUUGUGGCUUGGUUUCUUUUGCGGCCUCAAACACUUUCUUCUUCUCCGGAGGAAGUUUUUUAAACCCUCAUCCGAAUAAAGUAACCCCAUGUAAGCAAUUUUUAAACCCGUAUAGUCCGAAUAAACAAUUUGAAACCGCCCGAUUGUGUCUUUUUAUUUAUUCCUUUAGUGUGGGUUUGGUUCGAGCUUCUCUCGGGUUUAUGCUCAGCCCUAGCUACUACCAUUAUUCAUUUAAAAAAUAAGUUACAAUUUGUGACAGUUUGAAAGCUGUCAGAAUCAAUUAAAACAAAAAAAAUUAAAAAAUUAAAUGUAUUUUGAUCCUCCUAUUUUAUCAAAUCCAUAAAUUUGGUUUUUUAGUUUUAAGAUUUUAAAAUUGAGACCGUUAAUUCCUCUCUUUUCUAAAAUCAGGAAAUUAAAUUUUUCUGUCAAAUUAGUUGUGUUGACCAAAUGUUGACUGUUAAAAUUUUCUUUCUUCUUUUUCCUUUUGCUUUCACAUAAACCUCAGUCUUAUUUGUUCAAGGAAUUAUGCACAUUUUGUGCCCACUGUCCAUGGCUGCCAAAAGUUUCUUGGUUAUUCGAGUCAAUUAAUGCAACAAUCUGGAUAGAUUAAUUGUAGUUCUAUGCAAUGAUUAAGAACUAUCAAAGCAUUAAGAACUUGUAGCUCCUCACACACGAGAAAUAAGAAAUGGACAAGAAUGAGAAUGAGGACUCGAGCCUAAAAUUUAAGGCCAUGGACACCAAAUAUACGGGAAUGAUUGCACAUUUUGCAGGAAAUAAGUAGUGAGCCACAAACAUAAUUCCAUUUAUUCAAAGAAUAGUUAAGUUAUCAUCUUUAUAUAUUUUAAACACUUAAAUUAGCACCUUUACAUUAAAAGAACGCACACUAAUAUUAUUAAAAAAAGUAUUCAUCAUUUUGUAGGCCAACUUAAAAUAUAAUAUAUUAUAUAUAUAUAUAUAUAUAUAUAUAUAUAUAUAUAUAUAUAUAUAUAUAUAUAUAUAAUAUUAAAAUACUUAAUGUUUCUCACCUUUUUUAUGUUUGUUAUCAUAUAAAAAAACAUAGAUGAAUUUUAAAAAGUAAAUUAUUUACCAUCAAUUUAUAUAUUUGUUAAGCUACACAUAUUUUUUUAUUAGAGUUCUUUUUUUGUGUGUGUAAAAAUAUAUGUGAUGUCCUGUCAUUCUAUGUUUUACACAUUAGCUAUGCGAGAGUGUCUGUGCUCAUAUUGUGUCUGAUGUCCAUGUCGAAUUUCAAGCUUCAAAAUAUCAACUAACUAACUUGUGAGUCAAAUUACCGAUUGGGGGUAAUUUUUUUUAAAAUUUAUCAUUUGAGGAUAGAUUUUAAAUUAAUAUUCGUUUAAGGUUUAUGAAUUGAAAGUCAUGAAAAUGAAAUUAAUAUUUCUUGAAACCAAUAUCUAUUUAGUGUGGACAAUGGACAUCAAGACAUCAUAUGCAACACCAUCCUUGACUCUGUUGAAAAUUAAAAUCCCAGAAAAACACAUUUUUUAGCUCCCAUGUUAAAUUUGGAGCGAUGUUUUAUGUUUGAAGACACAAAGCACAAUGGUCCAAAUACUCUCGAACUUUCCAAGUUGGGUUGAGCUCCAAGUCAUGAAGAACCUGAUAAGACGUCUUCAUUCUUAAAGUUAAUCUUCAACUAUUGGGUCUGCAAUACUUUCAAUUUUAGUCUUCUACAUCAUGUCCUGUCCUGCCAACACUUCCUAAAGAUAUCAUCGAUCAAGCUAACUAUCAUUGGACCAAUCGUUAUUGUUUGCCUUUUGUUUUGCAAGAAGCUCAGAAGAAAGAAAAAAAAAAGAGAGAGAGAGAGAGACAAAAGAAGAUUUGACAGAAAACUCAUUGGAAUUUCUCCUUUUAUUCCCGCAAAAGUUUCGUGACUCAUUAUAGAGAGUACUUACAUUAUUAUUUUACAGUGAACAAAAGGCAAGCUAAAGCCUUUGUUUUCUUAUUCAUUAUUAUUAUUAUUAUUUAUUGGUUGCUAGCACUAUUGCCAAAAAGACAAAAGUGGGGUAGCACAUACAAAAAGGGCUCUAAGCCACAGCUCUCUUCUGAGACUCCUGAGGUGGAACCAGGAACUUGAAAGGGUUGUUGUUCUUUAUCUGCCUGGCCUGCUGGCUUUUUAGGUUGAAAGUGUGCUGAAUCACUUCCUCUGGUAAUGCGUUCAACAAUGAGUUUGCCCCUGCAAGAGUGCCGAUCAUGGGUGUAUCAUUGGUCUUGAAUGACACAUACUCGAAGUUGUCACUCUGUGAUCUUGCAGCCACCACAAAGUUUUGUGGCACGAUCAGCACCCGUCCCUCUUGCAGCUCUCCAUCAAACACUCUCUCACCGUUGCAAUUCACCACUUGUAUCAAUGCCCGUCCAUUCAAUGCGUAUAUUAUGCUGUUCGCGUUCAGGUUGUAGUGUGGCACGAACAUUGCAUUCUGCAUCGUACAUCAAUGCAUGCAAGAGUCACAACAAAUUCAUCCAAUAUUUUUAUAAUAAUACUAUUUUUUGUUUUGCUUUUUUCAUCAAUCUUUUCUUUUUUUUUCUCUCUAUUUCUAUAUAUAAAGACAGAAAAGAUAGAAUCCAUGCAAGUGUUAAGAUAACUCCGUCACACAUUUUAUAGUGUAUCUAAGAUUAUUAUUAAUCAAUAAAUCAUUAGUCUAAGUAUAAAUAAUGUAAUUAAGAUGAAAGACUCCAUUAAAAGUGAUCAAACAAAUUUUCUAAAAAAAUUAAUUAUCAAUAAAAUUAAUAAAUAUUUGGCAACAAAUAUUAGUUUAAUGUAUAAAUGUAUGUUGAUCUUUGAUGAAUGAUGUACGUACCUUGCGGAGAGAUCCAAACUCAGCACUGAGUCUGAGCCACGAGAGGGCUGGGAAGUCAAGGCUGGUGGCGGUUGUGACGCUACCGGCUUGAGGGUUGUAGAUGUCAGGUGAUGAAGUCUGGCCAAUGUUGUGGCGAAGUCUCAUGGUGCAUAUGGUCUCGUCAAUGCCAUUUCUUCUGCUUUUGCUUUGGCUUCCUCGGGGGCGUUGGCAGUGUUUGUCUUUACCCUUGCACUGUGGCUUCUCAUCCUCUUCUUCUUCUUCCUCUUCCUGGGGUCUUUGUUGCUGCUCGUCCGUGGGUGGUUUUAUCACGCUCAGACCUCCUUUCACUGUCACAAUGGCUCCCUUGUCUUCCCCUUCGUUCUCUCCUUGUAGGUUUUUCGCUAUCUGCUUGUCCACGCUGAAUGCAUGUUCCAAGAAUUCCAGGGUGAAGCCACUCAAUAUGCUGCCUCCUUCGUUUUCUUCUUCUUGCUGAUGCUUUCCUUUCUGGCUUUGAUGACCUCCUUGCUCUUGCUGAUAUUUUAGAAACUCUUGCUCUUGGUUCCCAGCAAGAUAGAAUCUCUGCCAAGAAUUGUCAAAACAAAUAGUUGUCAAUCUGUAACCAGCUAGUAUUAGAACUUAAGAAUUCUAAUCUUAACGUUACAAUGUAGUCCAGUUUCCUUUUUUUAUCAGCUACAAUAUUGUCCAUUUAUUUCAAGACAAGAACCAAAUUGGAUAAAAAAACACAACUAUAAGGAUUCAAUUGGCAUAUUUUAAUCUAUAGGUACUAAAUUAGAAAGUGCAACUCCACGAACUAAAAUGAUAUUUAAACCUUUAAAGAAUUAUAAUAUCUAAUAUUGCUAUGUGGCUCACCCUAGGCAUCUGGUCGAGCUGGUUCUCCAAGCUGUUGGUGUCAAUAAUAGAAACGGCAACAACAGGAGUGUCUUCAUUGUUGUACAUCCACCAUGCAACACCAGUAGGCACUGCGAUCAAAUCACCCUCUCUGAAGUUAUAGAUCUUCUGGUGACGGUCUUGUGGUCUGCUGCUUUGUCCUCUUUGUUGAGGUUGUUGAGGCUCUUCAAAUGUGCUAGGACAACCCGGGUAUAUCAUGCCAAAAAUACCCUUACCUAUUCAUAUUACAAAACAACAAACAAACAAAAAUUAGGAACCCAACAUUAUCAAUGAUAUGAUUAUGUUACGUCAUAUGGAAGAAAUCAAAACAAAAAUUUUAAUAUAUAAAAACUCAAAACAAAAAAAAUUAUUAAAAAUCUAAAAUAAAAUUCCCUCAUUUAUCAAACCCUUAAACAUAUUUAAGUCUAUUAUAUAUUUAUAUGUGAAGUUUGGACAAGAUGGACCUUGUUGGAUGUAGAUUUCCUGGGGACCGUUGGUGUAGGAAGGUCUACGAAGGGCGUUGCGGUUGAGGGUGCAGCGAGAGAGGGCAACACCGGCACACUGGAAUGGCUUGUUGUUAGGGUUCCAUGUCUCAAUGAGCCCUCCUUCUGACUCUAUACGGUUAUCCGGUUUGAGGGCAUUGAGUUUUUGGAUCUGGCACUCGUUUUGCUGAGGCUGCUCUCUGGAACUGAAAGCGAAGCAGCAGCCACUGAAAAGCAGAAAACAAAGGGAAAAAACUAGCUUGGCCAUGGUGAUGACUGAUGAGUGUUUAAGGACCAAUGGAGAGAAUGUUUGAGUUGUGAAGCGGAGAACCUGAGGCGUGGUUAUUUAUAGGGAAGAGAGGAAGGUGAAUGAGGGACACGUCACAGAAGUAGGGUGCUGAGCUUGAGACAUUCUUCAGUAUGCAUGGCUAUGGAAGCCUUGGGUGCUACACCUCAUGAAGUUCAUGGUGUGAGGUGGCUUCGGCAUCUCAAUUAAGUGACAAAGAGAAAGGUGUUUCAGUGUUUCUAUUGCAAAUGGCAGAAACUCGUGAUGACGAGGGGACCAUGCAUGGUUUCAUUUCUUUUCUUCCUGGAUUCUUUCUUUCCUUUUAUAUAUGCAGGUUCAUAAUUUAAAAAUUAGACUCGCUUUCAAUUUCUUAAUUUCUCAUUUUCCUCUUAUAUUACUGUACUAAUGUUAACCACGUACACUUAUUUUUUUUUUAGUUUAAUUUUGAUAGAUUGUGUUGAUUUAAACAUAUUAAUAUUUUCAACCAAAUAAAAAUCAUUUUAGUAGAUACGGCUUUUUAAAUAAUUAUUAAAAAUAUUAACUAUUUAUCCUAAAUGGCACAUUUUAAUUAAAAAAAAUCCGGUGUUGUAAGUGUUUUAUUAAUUUGUUUUGGCAUUAUUAAAGCAACUUUUUUUUUAUUUGUUGGCAUUUUGAGUACGUACUUAGGCUACCUCCUAUAUGAAAGUGAUUGAGUUGUUUUUGCUUAUUAAAUGCCAUGCUUAAUAAGAACCUUUUAUGAAAGUUUGUGGUUAUUUUGAUUAAAUUAUAUCACAAUAAUAUUUAUAAAACAGAUAAAAGUUAAUGUCGAUGAAUGUAAGAGUGUCAAGUUACUUGUGGAGUCUAUUUAAUAAAAUUUUAAAGUUGUUGGUUUUGGUGAUAAAAGUUACAUAAUGUAAAAGGUAAGAAAUAAGUUAUAUAUAUAAAGGGUGAGACUACUUAAGAUGUGAAAAAGGUUGAGAGAAAAAAAAUAGAUGUUGAGUUGGAAAAGCUCAUGAUUUACUUCUUUGAAAAUAGAAAAAUAUAUAAAUAAUUAUAAUCGGAUUGAUGAUUAUUUAAAUAAAAUCUAAAAAUUGUGUUUGUGUUUUAUAAGAGAGAAUUCAAAUCCUCAAAGUACUUAUAAGCAUACAGCUACUUUUUCUUUCCUGUCAAUACUUUUUUUUUCUAUUCUUCUGUUUUUUAGUUCUUAUAUAUUAGUUUCUUCUCUCUAUAAAAUAAGGUGGAACUAGAUUGAUGUUUUUUCUAAAUCCCUAAACUUUUUUUCUUUCCUAUUUUGACGAGGUUUGUAAUUUUUGAAUAAUUUCCUUGUUACCAUUUUAUUUAAAGUUUUUGGCUGACAUUUUUCCUUUUAAAACUUGAAGCUUGUGUUGUUGAACCACUUUUAAAAAGAAGAAAAAUUAAUUACAGGUUUUAAGUGUUGUUUGUAUUGUUCUCCAAUUAAAAUUGGAGUUUAAUUUAAUCUACAUAUUUUUUUUUAGUACAAAUCUUGAGAUAAAUUUCAAUUCUAAUAACAGAACAUGACAAACAGCAUGUUAAGAACUAUAUUUAAAUUUUGUCCAAUCAAAAAACCCUUUUCUUGCUUAAUGAUGGAGCUAUAUAUUGUUCUACAUAUUUCAAGUUUCUUAUUCCAUUAUAGUACUACAUUGUUUAUUGAGAGAAGAAAUAUAUAGCACUAUAUAUAUUGUUAACUAAUUAUGAGCUAAAUUUUAAAAAGUGUAGAAUAUAUAACUUGUAGUCACCCUUGCGUGGUUCAAUCUUCAUCACUCCAUGCUCUGCAACUUGAAUCAAGAAACUGGUGAUUGGUGAAUGUUCAUCACUCUAAGCCCAAUCUGACAAACCUAGCUACGUGAUAAACUCACUCCAGCACGUGCUAAGGGAAGGAAGGUACUAUCCACAUUUGCAAGGUAACCUCUAAUGUGGACCCUGCAACUGAGUUUUGUACAUUUAGGACUCGCAGAGCCGGGGUACUUGGUCAGAUAAAAUGUGAGAGUAGUUCUCCAACAGCUGCACAAAGUAAAUUAUUGCUUGCUAUGCAACUUGUAGAUUUACUUGCUAUGCAACUUGUAGAUACAAUGCAGUAAUAUUACGAUAAGAACAAGGCCAAAAUGACAAAUAAUACUCCAAUCAGUUAAUAAUGUGAAGAACGUUACCUUUUUCAGAGUCCAAUGCAUCAUCAAUAUCACCAACCAACACAGAUGCAGAUCCCACAUGAGCAUGGCUGCAUGGCUCCUGCAUGCAUCAUACCACCUGUCACUUAGAAUGCAGCAUCGUGACAGUUGAACCCACCGUUACCCAUGCAACUACUUGGAUAGCAAACAAAAUUAAUUCUACCUUAUAAAAUCAUGGUCAAACAAUGAAAAAGUAGAAGCAAUCAUUUGUUGCUUCACCUUCACCAUGAAUAUAUUCAAAACACCCUAUUAAUUCCCCCUUGACCAUUAUUCCCAACGGAUUCAGUUAUGUGUAGGAGUUAGCUUGUAAGUUGUAACUAGAAAUGUACGUGUAAACCAUCUUGUAUAUAUGCCAUACCAGUACUGAUUUCAACUGACUGAAUGAAUAUACAACUUUUCUCUCCAAAUUUGUUAAUCAUAUUCACCUAAUAUGAGAAGAGGAGAGGGCUUGUGAGGAGCCCCAUUCAGAACUUGCACACGUAACUCCUAGUUGAAAUUUUAAAGUGAAAAUGCUAUCCAAUGAGAGAGUUUUAUAUGUUCUUUUAUUGAAUGCAAAUAAUAUCUGAAGAUGAAUGGGAUCCUUCACUAUAAUUGUACAUCAAUCUGUAUUGAAAACAUGGAAACAACACACAAUAAACUAAUAAAGUGUCCAAAAUGCACAACUACUGUGUCAAAGUAUGCUAAACUCUGUAUCUAUCCCAUCAAUAUUUUAAACCUAUAUUUCAGCUUUGCAACAUCAUAAUAGCAAUUCAAAUUUCCUCCCCUAAACACAAUUUUCAUUUUCAUCACACUCAGAAGGUCUUCACCAAAAAAGGACUCUGCUUCUACAUUCAUUUGUCAAUAUAUACAAGAAAUUCUUACGUGCUUCCAAAGCUAGAAUUUUCUCUUGAUUUAUACUAUUGAAUGUGUAUCACAUCAACAAGGUGGCCAUCACUAUCUGAGUCAAAUGCAUUAGUAGUGCUAUAUCUGAUGUGGUACACGUUUAUAUUAGAAAUACAGAGUAAGCGAUUUUCCUGGCACUUGUAGCACCUGAGAAUUUCUCUAGUCAAAAUAAGAGCAAACUGGAUAUAACUGAUUUUUCUUCAGAUCCAGCCUUUCCCUAUUUAAAUUGUUCAUGGUUUCUCUUGAGCUCAUCAGAGCUAGAAAUCAGAUUUUUGGAUGCAAUGGAUUUCAUCACCCAAUAACAACAUAAAAUUGAUCAAUUAAACCAUUAUAAGAGCCAUGAUUCUUGAAUUUCUGAUACGAAACGCUACACUACAUACUACUGCUAAGGAACUAAGAAGGAAACUAAUGGAGAUAAUUGUUCUGAUUGAUUCUUCAUUCCACUUUAUUUACAUAUUUAUACUAAUAUGCUAAUAGAAUGCAAUUUGUUGUAACAGAAUUAUCACCAUCAACGAUUCUUCAUUCCACUUUAUUUACAUAUUUAUACUAAUAUGCUAAUAGAAUGCAAUUUGUUGUAACAGAAUUAUCACCAUCAACAAACUAGUGGAAUGUUGUAACUAAUUAAUGAAGAUUUCUGCAACCAUUUAGUGCCUUUGUGCAUUUUGGCGCUCAAACGAAGUCCUGUAGGUAAGUGGCUUCUGUAUUGUGACCUGUGUGGUAUUCUACUGAAUUGCUAUCAAUUUCAAUCAUACCAACCAACGUAGCAUGUGAGACGUAAAGUGUAUAUGUUUGGUUUUUUCUCUUGCCCCCAUAAGAAUUUAGAUAUAGGAUUAAUUGUUAACAAUAAAUUUGCAGUUCACUUGUGCACAUGCUGCUUCAUUAUAGGUAGCGCUAAACCUCAAGUUUCAGGUAAAAAACGUGACAUGCAAUCCUCCUUUACAACAAGCAAGUGACAAAACACAAACUAAACAAACAAAGUAGUCAUUUCUAUAUAACUUACAAAACAAAACAUUAUUAUCAUAAAUAAAACUCAAACAAGAGUCCGAUUUUCUAAUCUGUACUCCAAUGUGCGCGAUUAGUUGUCUCCACACUCUAUGCACUAACAACAGUACUAACUUCAUCCCCUUCUCGCAUUAAUAAUAUAAGGAAGCGGAUCAAAAUGUGGGAACCACUUAAUAUUAUGAGAAACUAGCAUGAUCUCACAAGGAUGUUAUCACAAUCCUCGGGAUGGAAACUCCUGCCAAUUACACAUUUGGGCAAUGUAAAUCACCCGCAUAGAAGGACUAUAGCUUAUUACAAGAUAUGAACAAAGACAAGAUAAAAUGCGAAUUAGAAGAUACAUAUGCCAACUAUGCUUUGCUCAUUCGGUAUCUCGCUUGAAACUAGAUUCAGCAUUCUUCUCCUUCGUGCCAUCAUCUACUAUUUUAGUUUCAGCAAGACCAUCCACUAUUUUAGUUUCAGCAAGAUCAUCUCUCUCGCCCUCAGUUGCAUUGACUUCAAGAGUGUUAGACUUUUGGGGAAGCUUUCGAUCCAGAUUCUGAGCAGCUUCAGAUUCUUCAUUUUCGGGUACUUCAUUGGGGUUUUGAACAGCUUUGGCAUCAUGCUUGUCAGUGUCAGCAUUUUGAGGUUGUUGUGCCCCAGAACUUUGAGCAGCAUCUAACUCCUCAUAUUUAGAAACAAUCUGCUGCAGCUCGUCAUUGAGAUAUAAAGCCUCAAAAAGUGUUGCUUCAUCGUUUGUAGUGCUUUCCACUAUCCCCUUGAUGAUAGAGAGAGAUUGCUUGCACUUAUCCAACAAGCUCACGGUUAAAUCUUCCUACAGCCACACAAAAUUAUUGCAAAUUCCAUCAUCAAACAACUAUUCUGUCAGCAAUAUAGAGAAGAAAAUAAAGGGCAAAUACUUCUUCUAUAAACACUUACAAGAAAAGAAACUACAAAACAGAGUAGAUGAACCUUCUGCCAUAAGUUAAAAUCAACUUAUGCAUCUCAACUUUUGGAUAAGUUAAAUGAGAAUUUAUUCUACAGAAGUUGGAACGCAAAAGUUGAUUUUAACUUGUCAGAGAAGUUUAAUAUAUCUUAACUUUUUAUUUUCUUCUUCUCCUACAAGUACUUAUUGAAAAGUCUGUCCGAACAAGGCCAUAUAUAGCAAUUAUCUAACAGUAGUAGAUGGAAAGCAUGGGGAAAAAAAAAAAGAGGAAAAAGAAAGACUGGAUGCAUACAAAAAAACAUCAUGAUGAAGUAGUAUACAAAACACCAAUUUAUUAUUCGGGUAAUGUUGAUUUUCUCUAACAUCAAGAUGUUUACCUUCAAAGUUUUAGGCUCUGCAUCAGAAUUCAAUAUGCUAGAGAGCAAUUCGAGACUGUUUCGAGCAACCACAAGAUGCUCUUUCCUCUCUUCAACUGAUAUGUGUUGGUAAUUAGAAGAGAAAGCUGCUGGAUCAUCAAUAUCAUGUAGUUCAGCUUGAGGAAUUGGGUAUCUUUCAGGGGCAUCUACAUAUGACUCUGAGGCAUACGGAACAUGUGGUGAAUUUCCUCCCGCCAUGUCAACCGGUUCAUCCCUUCCUUUCAAACUCUGCCAUCAAAAAGAUAGGAUGAAGGAUUCAAAUAAAUGUGAAAGAGAAGGAUGCAAGAGAAUCUAUCACAGUAAAAUGUAGAAAUAGAAGGCAUUGCAUAAAGUGCAGAAAAUAAGUGAGAACAUGAAGCCCAAUACAAUUACAUUUCAAAAUCAAUAUUCUGUACAAGAUAAAAAUCCCCAGCGUCACCUGAGAAAUGAGUAUACCCCAUUUUAAUCAAUACUCCCUGAAUAUGCUGGGCGUAUUUAUAGCAGUCCCUGAAUUAGAAAAAUAUCAAAUAAAUUCCUAAAAUUUAAAAAAUUUAUUCGACAUUUAUCUAAUUUCAAGGACUAGUACGAUAGUGUCUCACAAAUUCAGGUACUAAAAUAGGAUUUACUAUGGGAGAAAGCUUCUUCUUUUUUUUUUUUUUUUGUCCAGACCACAGGUAUCAAGACAAGAGUAACAAACAAGUAAUCCAGUUAUGGCAAUAUCCUCAAUCAGUAAAAAUAAAUAAAUAAACAGACCAUAUAAGUUUGACGAAAGACGGGAAGAUAAGCGAGAUCCUCGGACUCGCCCCAGGCCCGAAUCAACUGAAAAGCCCGGCUGCGGGUCUGGUGAUGGGCCUGCGGGUUAUCGAUGAGGCGAAUGAUCUCAUCGAGAACCUUCUCGGAAGCGAUUUCGGAGAAGACCUUGUCGCAAUUCAUGGCGCAGGCUUCGAGGAGGUCAAGGCUGAGGGUCUGAACGACGGGGCUCUUGUGAUUGAUCUUUCUCUUGAUGGCCUUAACGACCUCAGAGCCGUUGAACUGGUCGCUGUUGAUCAUGCCACAGAUUCUGAGAUUCAUGCCCCAAUUGGGUUCUUCCAUGGUCUCCAGCGUGGCCUCGUCCACCAUCUUGGACUCCGGCGUCGGCGCCUGAAGCAUCUCCUUCACUUUUCCGCUCACCAUUCGCCCCAUCUGGGCCCCACCGGUCUUCAGCCUCUCACCCAGUUGCGCCCACUUCAACCGCUCCAUCGUGUAAGGAACCCUAACUAGAUCGGGUGAAAUGUGAGGAAAGUAAAAAGCUGAGCUUUGAAGAUUAUAAAGUGAACAAGUGACGAGAGACAAGAGGGGUGUGUGUGGUGGUGUCAAUAUACUGAUCAAUUGCUUGUGACACGUUUUUUUUAUUUUAAAAAAAAAAAAAUCAAUGCCGUAGACUGGGAUUUGUUUGUGGGUGGGAUUUAAUUAAUGAUAAUAAAUUAUGCAUUUAACUCAUUUUCACGUCUUUUUCUGUCUCGCCCUAAAUAUUUUAAUCAUGAGUUGAAUUUGUCACGGUUUCAACUUAAAAAUUUUCACGUCGAAUCUAACCAAUACAAAGAUUGUGUUAGGUGUCUUCUUAAGAAGAUAUUUUUGACAAAUUGAUGUAGGGAUUAAUAUUUUAUUUAUAUAUAUAUGUCUGAUUUUUAUGUAAUCUUCUUAUAUAAGCAAGACUUAUUUUAAAAAAUAUAGGUAUUUUUGUAUUAAAUGAUUUGUCUUUUGACAUAUAAUAAAUAAAAAUUCUAAAAUAAGUUAAUAUAAUAAAGAAAUUGAGUUAUUAUGUAAUAAAAUAUGUAUUGAUGUUAGAAAUGGGACUCUUAUUAUUAUUUAAGUUUAUUUAAUUUUUUUUUAUAAAUGACUAUAAAUUAUCAAAACAGAUUUAUAAGUUUUCAAUUAUUCAUCACAUGUCCAAAAUAUUUUAUCAAAGAAAAUAUAAAUAAAAUCAAUUUAAUAUAAUGAAAUUGAUAAAUCAUUGAUCAAUUAAGUUAAAUGAACUUAAUUUUUUUAUAGCAACUUUACAUCAUUAAUAUAUGCAAUAACAUAAUGUAUAAUUAAUACAGGAUAUUAUAUAUAUGUAAAAAAAUACGUGAUGAAUUAUAUUUUGAAGUUUAAAAAAAUGAAAUUUUUUGUUGUAAUAUGUUUUUGAUAUGAAAAAUAUCUGAUUAAUUUAAAAUAAUAAAUCAUUAUUAAAGAGUACACAUAUAAAAAAUAAUAUACUAAUAAAUAUCAAAAAAGUAGAUAAGCAAUUCAUAAUAGAAAAUAGAAAAAAUAACUUCCCUUAAAUUUGAAAGACUUUUCGAUAAAUAACAUAUCAAGUCAUAUUUAAAUUAUCUCAGUUAUUAAUAAAAAUAUUUCGGUUAAUAGGUUUUCAUUAAAAAAGAUAUGAAAUAUUUUAUUAUUAACAAAAGUAUUUUCAUUAAUAGGUUUUCAUUGAUAUAUCUUCAUUACCAAAAUAAUUUUUUGUCAAUCAUAUUUUUAGGUUAAAAUAUAUUUUCCGUCUCUAUAAAUAUCAAAAAAUCCAAAAUUCAUCCCUAUAAAAUUGAAAUGUGUGUCUUUUUUUGGUUUGGAAUUAAGCUUUGGUGAAUAUGAGCCUACAUGGUUUAAAACUUAAAUUAUAAGCUAAAAUAUAUUUUUCAUCCCUAUAAAUAUCAAAAGGUUCAAAUCCAUCUUUAUAAAAUUUUGAGUCUUUUUUUCAUCCUUGAAAAAUUGAAAUUUAUUAUUUUUGGUCGGAAGUAGGUUCAGAUUUACUCAGUUUGAUCGACGACAGUGAUUUAUGGGGGUUAAAAUCACCACAAAAUGUAAAAAGAAAAACCCACACAUUUGUAAAUCUCUCCUCCCUAACUUUCUUCAUCUUCUUUGUCCACCAAGCUAAUAUGAGAGAGAUGAAUUUGAGAGUUUGUUGACAAUGUUUGAUUAUGAUAGAACACUUGAAUUGAUAUUUAUAGUGUUAAGUUCGAGAAUGAAGGUGUUAGGCUUUUGGAAGGAAGAAAAAUUUAAAAAAAUUAUUUAUUUAAAUUCGAAGAAGAUAAAGAAAGUUAGAGAAUAAUGAGUUUAAGAAAUAAAAACUUAUAAAUUUGUGUAAUUUUUUUUUUCUGGAUUUUGUGAUUAUUUUUAUUCCCAAAUUUCACUUUUUUGAGAACCAAAAAAAACUCAAUUUUACAAGAAUGAAUUCUAAACAUUUCAAUAUUUAUAAAGAUAAAAAAAUAUAUUUUAGCAUAUAAUUUAAGUUUUAAAAAAUUCUCAAAUUCGUCUUAGAUCCAGACCAAAAAAUAACAUAUUUAAAUUUUAUAAGGAUGAAAAAUAUAUCAUAAAAAUUACACGGAUUUCAAAUUUUCUAAUAUGUAUAAGAACGAAAAAUAUAUUUUAAUAUAUUUUUAUUAAUAUAAUAAUUUUAUUUUAUCAUUAUACUAUAAAGAUACAAUCAAAUUUGUUUAUUUAAACGUAUAUUAUCCAUUAAUACCAUGCCAUUUAUAAUUAUAUUUGUAUACUUAAAUUUUAAAUUUAUUAAUGAUUUUAAUUAUGGUGGAUUAAGACAAAACAUCAAAAAAUAAUUAAAAAAAUGUAAAACAAAAUAAAUACAACAUCCAAAACAAAUUUUCCAAAAAAAAAACAUAUAAAACGGAUUAAAAUCUAAAUAAUAUUAAUGAAUAAAAUAUAAUAUUUUACAGAUUCAUAUUACACACCACGUAAAACAUAAUAAAUUUUUUAAAAGAAUAAUCUUAUCUAAUAGACCCAAUAAUUUUUUAAAACAUGAAUAAAUAAAAGAAAAAGAACUAAUGUGUUAUUAACUACUGAUUGAUUGUAAUAUGAACUCAUUGAUCUUUUGCCAUUUGUGUGUUUAAUCAUGUGAUAAAAUAACAAAAAAAGAAUUAAUGAAAAAACUCAAAUGAAUGUAAAAAAAAAAAAACUUUGAACUUUUCUCCCUGCAAGUACGACACCGAAAACUUUGAAUUUUUCUCCCUAUUUGAACGCCUUUAUCACCUCCUCUUCCAUUUCUGUCUCUUGUAAUGAAUAAUUCACACCAAAACUCAAUGAACAUACCAUUGUUAAGUAUGAUCCUAUAAAAAACCAACAACAAACUCAAUUACCGAUAAAAGCACAUGUUUAAAUAGAAUAAGAAUAAUAUAAUAUUAGAAAUUAUUAUUCUCUAUUCAACUUCUAAAACGUGCAUAUUAGAAUAUAGAAAAUUACCUAAUUAUAUGAAUUAAGAGUGUAUUAAAUGUAUUUUAUGAAUUAAAACUGUUAAUUUUUAUUAUUGAUUAAAACUGCUAAUUAAUAUAUCAUUAAUGUAAAUAACUAAUUUCUCUAUUAAUGUGAAAUUACUCUUCUUUAAAAUAAAAAUAUUUUAUUUACUUUUUUUCCCAUACAAUUAUUAAUUUAACUCCCAUUUAUGAGACAAAAUAAUAUUUACAAAAAUGUCCCCAACUCACUUUCUUUUAUAUAUUAUAUAUAUAAAGAUAUGUAAAAAAAAUCUCAUCCUUCUCCUUUUAUAUAUAUAGAUGCUAACUUCUCAUUUUCAGACACAAUUUUUGAAUAUACUUUUUUAUCUAUUAAAGUCUAUUAAAAUAGUAUAUUUUUAUGAAUCUUAUUUUUUAUUUAACUUUUUUUUUUAAUUUUAUAAAUUUAAAUAAAUUUUUACACGUUAGAAAAAAUGUGUAAUGUUUUCAUAUACUAGUAAUCACAACGGAAAAUAACGCUUCAUUUCAUCAACGGAUAAAAGUUUUGUAGAAAUUGAUUUCCUUUGUAUACACUUAUGGUUUAAUUAUAUUUUUGGUUUUGAAAAUUAAGGGUGCAUUUAAUUUUAGUCUCUUAAAUUUAAAAACAAAUAUUUUGGUCUUUUAAAUUUAAAAAGUUACAAUUUUCAUCCCUCAAAGUUUAUUUUGGGUUUUGUUAUGUCCUAGUGUUAGGUAACUUGUUGUGAGCGAGAGGAUGAAGAUGAACGCAUUGGAUUCGAGGUCAAGGCACCUCCUGAAAUAAACUAAGUUCUACGCAAAUGCUUCUCUGAUUUUAUUCAUGUAUUCGAUAUCCUAUUUAUACACUGCCUUUUGUAACAGAUUAUAACAUAUCAGUAACAAACUUUGUAGGCCAAAAUCACACCAAGUCCUUCAAAUAGGUAGGGCGCGCAGUGUUUCUCUUGGGCCUUCCAGCAUGGGCUUCAGGUAAUGUGUUGAUCUCUUCUACGUUCCUGUUGCUGUUGCUGUUGCUGUUGCUGUUGCUAUCAUAACUCAGGUUUAAGAGGGAAGGUGUGUACCUGCAAAAGGCAUUCUAGUUUUCAACCCUGAAGUUGUAAGGUUUGCACUGGUAUAGUGCAGGCAUCAAAGAUGCAUAGAUGAGUGGUUAAAAGUUAAAACCCUUUAUUUGGCAAUGAGUGGUUGAUCCACUGUUUUACAGUUGUACACGUACUUGCUUUUUCUGUAUUUUUUAGCAAUUUAUUCCAACAUUAGCACUUAAAAUACCCUAGUUGUAACUUGUAAGCCUUUUCAUCUAUAGAUUGGUUUAAUGAUGUGAAACAGAGCUAUAAAGUUGAAGGAUGUCAACUUACAUAUAAAGAGCUAAGCGACUUCAUUUAUAAGACUGUCCUGCUGAGAAAGUUGACUUACUUGCACCGGAGUGAAGGAGACCAGGUGGCUUCUACUAGUAUUGGAAAAACAGAAACUCUUCUUGUUCGGAAAUUACCAAUUGCAGAUCCAAAGUAAUCAUACUCAUUGUGCAACAGUUCUUUGGAUUGUAGAAUUGUUAACUGCUAUUGUGAGUUGGCUGAUAUGGUCCAUUUUAUGCUUAGGAUGUGUCAUUCUCCUGAAAUGCAAUAUUUAUUCCUUGCUUUUCAUAUGAAAAAUCUUUAAACAGAUGCUUUUCUCAUCUUGAUUUCAUAUAUUACAUAAUAAUUGAAUCUAGAGUUUAUAACUGUUGAACUCAGAAAAUAAACACAUUGAAUUCUGAAUAAAUCAUAGAAUCUAUCUGUUUUUUUGGCCAAAUUUAAGUGCAAACAUCAACAAACACAAGGUUUCCCCCUAACAAGUAACAAGGAGUUUUCUCCUUCAAAACACCGUAAAUAACAAUUUGACACCUUAACCGCCACAUCCUAAAACAAAACUGCCAAUACAUAAUUGAAACCAACAUAACUGCCUAAUAACUGUCCUAAUGCAGAAUUAACACAAACACAGCUACCUAAUAACUGGCUGUCAAUUUUUUAUUGUAACAAAAGGAUUGAUUUGUGUUAGCAAGUUAGUAUAUUGAUAUCACAUAUAGAUUUGACUGUUUGUAAGUUACUAAAAGUCUCUCAUUUUGAGAAACUCCUACCAUGUCUUAGUUUGAGCACUAGUUUACUAUGAUUUAUCAGUUCUGAAGUUAAAAUUUAAAACAUAAGGUGGUUCUUGCCUAUGAUGAUUUAUAUUUUAAUCGUUGUAAAGCUCCAUUUGAGGCUUUUGGUCUUGCAGAUGUUACUUUUUUAAAAAAUAUAUAUGGUAGGUGGCACCAACAAUGUGAUAAACUUCAUGCUUAUGCCUGUGUUAUUUGUAGAUUUUUUUAAAAUAGGUUUUCUUUUUACAUUUUGUAAUCUGGUCGGUGAUAUGGUCUAUGGAUGGUAUAAUGAGUUCUGAUAAUCCUCCCCUUCCUCUCCCAAAAAAUGUUGUUGACUGACUAUCAGUUUGCAAAUUUAGAAAUCAUUGCUCACUUCUGUUUUUUAUUUUUAUUUUUAGACUUCCACUAAAAUUAGAGAGAUUUUGACUGACGAUUGAAUUUUUCAAAUGGUGUUCAUCAAUCAAUGCAAUCUCAAAUGCUGUGCAUGUUUCUUUGACAGGCAUGUUUUUGUAGGAGAUUUAGUGGUCUUGAAAAACCCUCUGAAGGCAGAUAACUAUCUUGUCAGGCAAUUAACUGUAUUGAAGGUUAUGAAAUGGUAUCAACUGAUGAAAAGGAUGAACCCUUUUUUUCUUGAGAAGGAUCAGUGUUGGGUAGAUGCUGAAAAUAAAAGUUUAAAACCCAAGGUAAGACUGCUCUAUUUUCCUGGUCUCUCUAUAUAUGGAGCAUAUCAAUUGGCAUUAGCAUUUUAUUGCAAGAGAGAAGCUAAUGCUGAUUAUUUAAGAAGUUUUAUAUAGUAAAAUAUCAUGACACCAAGCAAUAAGUUACCAUUGACGUACAAGUAUACAAGGUUACUUGUUGGAAAAUAAAACAACAGCUUUCUGUUUUUAAAAUAAUUAAAAUUAGGCAUGAUUUGGUAAUUUAAUGAUAUUGAAAACCUCUGGAAUUCCAAAUACUAAUGUUUUUCUUUCUCUCUUUUUAGUUUUCUUCCUUUGUCUCUUUAAUUAUAUUUUUUUUCUCUACUAAUAAGGAUAUUAAAUCUGUGUUACUUCUUUACCAAAAACUCUGUUAAACUCAUGGGGUUUUGUGCAUGUGUCGCUCUUACAUGAUUUAUAAAAGGACAACAUGGUGUCAUUUGAUCUAUGUAGCCAAUCCCCACCUAAUGAAAGAAACUUUUGCUGCUGUUGUUAUUUUGUUUCCUCAACAUCUAGCUGCUUUGAAAUUGUGUAGUAUCUGUAAGCUCUAAAGUCUAAGGUGAAUGUCUCCAUAAAGACUAGUCGAUUAUUUGGUCCAGUUAAUAUGACAGACAUUGUAGGCAGAGUCAUAUAUCGCCUGCGAACCUGUGUAGAGACCAUCACUGUGUACGGAACAGGUGAACUAAAUUAGUAAAUUUCUAUCUUAUUUCUUAUGUAAAAUGGUAUGUGGAAGGUUUUUUUUUUUCUUUAAAAAAAAUAUUGAUAUAAUUUACUCCUUUGCCAGUCAUUCCAGCAUGCUAAAGGAUUGGCCCGUGUUGGCAGUGGAACUUGAUGUUGAGGAGAUGUCAAAGAAUCACAAGGCCUAGGCCUGUUUGGUUUACAUUCCUGUCAACCCAAAUGGGAAAACGUGCUUCCCAUGAAUGCACUUUUCUAUCAAGUGAAUCACAACAUAUACUUAUGUCAAAACAAGCGAAUCUCCUGAUCAUCAUUAACUAGAUAGUUUUGUACGUAUCCCCUGUUUGAGGCAGAGCAAUAAUAGGAUGUUACUUUUUUGCAAGAGAAUGUGAUGGUGGUGUUAUCAGUUGUGUGAUUUCUUUAAUUUAUACAUAUUAGAUGUUUGACUUUUUCUUUAAAGCCCAAGGAUAAAUUGCUUGUUUGAUGUAUAAAUAGUAAUAGUAUAUUUUUCUAUAAUAUAUAUCGUUUUGUUAAGCUUAAUAUUUUAUCAAUAUCAAAUAAAAAAAAUUGUACUUCAUAUCUUAAAAGUAAAAAAGCAUGCGAUUCUUUACUUUUUUAAAUUUUGUAGUGUAUGCUUGGGAGAAUUUAUUUUCAACAAAUAAUGGCUUAUAUUUUGGUUUUUUUUAUUAUAAUAAGUUAUAUUAAACUUGGGAGUAUGAGAUAAAGUUGUGUAUGUAUAAAAAGUUGUCUUUGAAUAAGCGUUACUUUUAGUUGAACGUCAAUCUAGUAUAGGAUUCAGUUGAACGUGCAUUAGAAAGUGUCUUAAGUAAAACAAACACACUAGUGUGUGCUUAGAUUGUUGUGUGAGAGGUACCAAAUGUUCAUUUGUGCAUUUCAAUGCACAAAAGACAAGUAACAACUAACAAUACUAUUAGAUUAAAUGUGAGUUAUAUUCAACUGAAUGGUUAUUCAAACACACCUCAAGCGUCUGUUUGGAAUUAGAGACGAAUGGAUGUUUGCCAAAGGAGUCAUUUGUAUCUUUCUUCCAGCAGGUUUGGAGGUGUGUGAAUGGUUUUUAAAACAUGUUUUUAAAUCAUUUAUUGUUGACUAACUAAAAGAUAUUUCUGACUCAACCACUUAGGGAUUAUAGAUAUUUCAUUUGGUUUAAUUUUUUUUAGACUUAAUUGUCCUUAAAAUGGAAAAUUGAGUUAAUUAGAAUGUUUAAAAACUAUAAACUUUUAAAAAUGUAAUUUUUAAAAGAAUAUAUUUUAAAAAAAUGUUUUUGGAAAAGCCAGUUUCAAGAUUUUUUUUAUACUUUUAUUUCUCCCCUUAUUCGAAAACAUAAAAUCUAAAAGAAAAAUGACUGUAAUUUAACUACUUGAAAGGAUUAAAAUGAAUGUUCCACACUUUCACUCGUUUUUUUAGGCUUAAUGAUAAUAACAAAGAAAAAUAAAAGGUUCCUGCCCGAGCGAGAAUUUCAGUUGGUCCCUGAUGAAAAUAAUGAUUCCCGAGAAUGUCCCUUAUAUAUGACUAUGGGACACGACACGGGUAACUAGCAACAAGAAAAAACCUGCGACUGCUAGUGAGUGCAAAUUGAAGCAAAGGUUGCUGCAACCGCCGUUGAGUGAGGGCGGUUGGGUUACGAUGUUGCAAGCAAUGCAUCUGAUGAUGGCCAACACUUACAACGUUGCCGGUGAGCGUCUUUCUCUGUCACCUUCAUCCUUUGAACCAUACCAUAACCCUUCUUCACUCUCUUCUUUCAUUUUCCUCCACUCUAGCCUUUAGGUUUUUUUUUUUUCCUUAUGUUUCUUUUCAGUUUGCCUCCUAUGAUAGCUAGCUUUUGAGACAUGGAUCGUUUUCAGCUUCUUUUUCCGUCAUGAUUGAAAAAAAAUCAAACUGCUGUUCUGUAAAUAACCACUCUGCAAUUAAAUUGUGCCAUUUUACUGAAGCACUAGUAAUAUAUAUCCUGGAUCAUACUCUCUAUCCGCUACUGAGAUAAACUUGAAAUCAUGAUCAUUUGAAUUCCUAAAACAAUUGUGAUGUAUGUAUCAUUGCUCAAUUCAGAGAUUGAUUACUUAGUGCCUUAUCCUAGGUUUCUAUGAUGGAUUGUGUUGCUUUCUGUCAUACAUAAAUAAGGACAAAACUUAGAUGCAGUUCUACAAGUGUUUUUUGUUGAUGUUGUCCAAUUAGAAUUGGAGUUUCACUUCAGUAAUUCGGGUAUAAAAAGGUUUUCAAUAAAUGUCAAAUAGAUUACCAAGGUGGAACUCCAAUCCUGAUUGAAGAACAACAGCAAAAGUACUCAUGGAAUUGCAUCUAAGUUUUGUCCAAUAAAUAUGGCUAUAUGUUUAUUAUAUUUUUUCUGUUCAUUUUAUUUUACUUCUCUCUUUAUGGUUUUUGAAGUGGUUUUGGUCAUACCGUGGGAUGUGGAGUGGCAGAAGGUAGGUUUCUUCCAUGUUUGGGUGUUUCUGGAAGAACAGCUUCUGUGUUUUCUUGCUCCUCUCAGGGUUACCACAGAAUUCAUUCACAUGUCACAAUUAGAGGGCUAAAGUGUUCUUCUAGGGGUGCAUGUGCAUCUUUUGUGUGUGAAGCGAGGAGGAACCCUGAAUCUUUCUCUAGGCAAAACAAGCAUGGAUUUUCCAGAAGCAGGAAGUGGCUCAAUGUAGACAGAGACAGCUUUGAGAACAUUGAAAAAGACAUGUUAUCAUUGAAAAAUGGUUCAUUGGUAUCUCAUUCUAGCACACUAAAAAACCAUGCCAAUGCCAAUGCUGCCCCUAGGCCUAAAGAGAAGGAGAUUAUUACACUGUUUAAGAAGGUUCAGGCUCGGCUAAGAGAGAGAGCUACUACUAUUAAGGAAAUAAAGAAAGUUGAAGCAUCCCAAGCACAGUCUAAAUAGAAUGGUUCUGUUAAUUCUCUCCUCAAGCUACUGAGGAAACACUCAGUUGAGCAAGUAAAGAGAAGUAGUGGUGUUAACAGAGGGGAAAACGAUAGUUUGGACUGGUUGCAAGAUUGUGGUCAAGACAAUGAAAGUCAAAGCACAAAAUUUCCUGAUUUAAAUGGUACUCCUAAUAAUGAGUCUCAAGAAACUAACAUUUCAUUAGUUAUCAGGCCUCCAUCUAAUUUCCAACGACGGUCUUCUUUUUUUCGGUUAAAGUAUCAACCUGUCUCUAACGACGAUAAGGAUGUGAAUGCAGUCCCCUGAGUAAUGUGGUUACAGAGAAAGAUCAGGAUCAAAUCGGCAUCAAGCUUGAUCCUGAGCCAGAGCAUGACUCUGAACUGGAACUUGAUCCAAAGGAUAAGCCCUUGUUCCCCGAAGUGGGGAUUGCGAUUUCACAUGAUGAUGAUUAUCUUGAUUCUGAACAAAUAUAUAAUGAUGAACAUGGGGAGGACCAACAAGUGGAACAACAUGAGGAUUUGAGUACAAUGAAGCUGUCUGAACUAAUGGCACUUGCGAAGUCUCGUGGCCUCAAAGGGUUUUCAAUAAUGAAGAAGAGUGAGCUCAUGGAGUUGCUAACUGGAAGCUGAUUUGGACCAUAAGUUAGAGAAGCAAAAUCAAGGAACAACAGAUUUUACCAAUAUCUGUUUUUUACCUGUGAAUUUAUCUGGUUUAUUUUUUCAUCGUUUUUAAUUUAAUUCCUUCAAAUACUUGAGGGUUUGUGGAUCAUUAAAUAGAAUAACCAUGCUAUUAUUCAGGCCUCGGAGGAUUUUGAAUUUGUAACUGUAUUCCCACGAUGAGAUUUUUGAAUUUUUUUUUACUGAUUAAAAGUACACCAUUUCAGUAUGAUAAUGCUUCGGGACUAUUAAUCAUUGUUAACCGUAUUGUAUAGCUAUAAUCCUUAUCAGGCCAUUGUUAACCAUUUUGUUUACAUAUCCAGCAAAAAUAAAUAAAUAAAUAAAUGUAGUAAUACUUUUUUUUUUAUCAAUUUUUAUUUUUUGAAAAUAAUUAUAUUCCUUAAACAAAAACGAACAUUGGAUCUGAAAGCUAUAUAGCUUAGCAAAACAGGACCGAACGGACUACAUGGGUAGCAAAAUAUUUAUGACAAAAGGGAUCUAUAUAUGCUAUUCAUAAUCCCUUUUUGCUCUUCACACUCUCCAUUUUCUAUUUUUUGUUUUUUGAUAUUCCUAAAAUAUCACUAUUCCCUCUCACUUUCCUACCCUCACUUUUCAUAUAUAUUACAGAAAUUAGUCUCUCUAAUAUAGUUAUGUUUUAAUAAAUUAUUAUAUUACGAAAAUUAAUUUCCAUAAAAUGUUUUUUGUCAAUUUUUUUAACAGAAAAAUAGGUAGGCAACACAAAAAGCAAAAAAGUGGGGUGUAAAUGACACAAACCCAACAAACAAGGCCGAAACUAUUUCUGAGUAGUUUAUUUUAACAAAGCUCUCUUUUCCCCUGCAUCCCAAAAAUCUCAACCUACAUCCCUUUUCACCCCCUCAUAGUGGAAAGAUUAAUUGGAAUGAAGGUUUUACAUUUCAAAUUACCUAAAAGAUUGUUAGGGUGAAAGAAAAAUAAAUUAGAAAAGCUCACUUACAAAAAAGAUGAUUAAUUAAAAUUAGGAGCUCAUAGUUUUAACUUCCCACUUUGUUUUCCUUCGUUUAAAAAAAGUUGUCCUUCAUCGCCAAAAAAAAAAGAUGUUUUCCUUCUUUUAGGAGACAACAUCACGUUUGGCUUGCCUGCAUAGUGCUUAUGCUUGCUUCCAAUAUAAACAUUUUCCUUAUCACCACUUAAUAUAGCAGUCACCAAGUGCCGCUAAAUAGAAAAGGGAAUAGAAUAUUCACAAUUCACAUGCAAGGGGUCCCCAAUUUGAAAGUUUAGCCGAAGAAGCUUGUGAGUUGGUGGCCGCUGAUUCAGUAACUUGGACAUUAAUUUCUUUAGUUUUUAAUGUGUGUUGUUUUAUCAAAUUUAAUCACUCACAUGGGGGAAGGAAGAGAUGGGGAAACAAAAUCCCUCUAUUAUGCAAACCAUGACGUAUACGGCAAACAAGAUAAGCAAUAGUUAAUAUGUAAUCCAAUCUAAGGCGAGCAAGGAAGAUCUCAUUUGUUUAGCUUGAUACCGAUUGACUUUGAGCUUUUUGAGGGAUAAUGAGGGGAUACAAUUUUAACCCAAAAAAGAAGGGUAUAGCAAAAGCAAAAGAAAAUACGUAUCACACAUCUUUAAAAAUCACAUCUCGUAUCUAGAGUAGGUGGUUCAAUCAAAACGUAAUUAUGUAAAAAUCACGAAGAAAAUGUAUUGAUAACUUUGAGUGUUUUUUUCUCUUAGUCAACACUCUUGCUUAUUGAAAAAAAUAAAGGCUUAUAAAUUAUAGGAGGGGUUGAAAUCUCAUGUCGUCUAAUUCUUUUUUUAUUUUUAUCAACAAAUAAAAAAUAUAUAGAUGUAUAGGAUAUAAAGGGUGUCCAAAACCCAAGCGAGAAUGACCAAUAUCUGAAUCACAUAACACUUUAACAUUAUUUAUUGGAUAGCGAGAAUAAUCAAUAUCUGAAUCACAUGAUAUUUCAACAUUGUUUAUUGGAUAAUAAAAUGAUUACCACAUCAGUUUAGUAUAAUGAUACAGUUAAAAUAUUUUUUUUAUUGGUAAAUAUUAAUUUUUAUUAUAAUACUAAUAGAAGAUUUAAACUUAUAACUUCUCUUUAUUCUUCUUGCUUCAACCCUUAAACCUUUCUUCAUAAUCAUCAAAUCAAUCUUAUAACUUUUAUAUGACUAAAAUAAAGUAUAACUGAAGCGCAAACCUUACCUUAUAAGCCAAUUUUAUAAGGUUUUACAAUCAUAACUCAUAAUUCUAAUAUAGUAUUAGAGUCUAUUCUAAUGAGUAUCAUUAGACAUUCUAUGUUACUUGCUAUCGAACUACUAUUAGACCUGUAUAAGUCUAGUUUAACAAAUUUUAUGAUUGACAUGUCUAAUUCUCGAUAAGAGAAAUUGUGUUGGAAAUCAUACAUCAAUAAUGAUGAGACAAAAAAUAAUAUAUAUACAUGAGUCAGAUGUCUAGUUACUCAUUAAAUAAUUAGUGGAUUAAGUGUUCAUUUAACUAUGAGUUAUAUGUUUUUAAAAUUAAAAAAUUUAAAAAUAGUUUGUGUGUGCUAAGGAAAAUAAUUUUAUCAUUAAUAAUAAUUCUAUUCAAUUGAAAGAGUGUUUAUCGUGAAAAAUAUAUGUAUUCUUAAAAAAAAAAUGUAAGAAUGAUAUAAAAUCCAAUAUAUAAAGUACAUUAUAAUUCUUCCAAGAGUAUGGACUUUGGUGUGACUUUAUGAGGAUGAUAUAACAAAAUAACAAAUAGAUAAAGCUGCUGUACAUCAAUGGUUAUAAUGAAAGGAAUGAUUAUUUACAGCUAUGGGUAAGAUAUACGAAAGAAAAAAGGAAGUCUACGAUUAUUACAGCUAUGACAAUAAAUAAAGCUCGUAAAAACAAAACAAAAGUCCAAGAAUAACCAACGGGUCUAAUUAAGUUGACAUGUAUGACUUUAAUUAAGUUCAUAAACAUUUACUAUGUGCAUAGCGAACAAAGAAAUUGUGUAGCUGAUCACGACGACUGAUACAUAAUACAAUAUUGUUUUGACUUUGGAUAAAAAAAAACAGAUAUGAUACAAGUAGGUUAAUAUCCAAGAAGUGCUACGUACUUUCCAAAUCUUUCUUUGGUAUAGUGUGACAGUGAUGUAAUGAAAAAGGAAGAGAUAAAUAAAAAGAAAAUAAGGUAAAAACGAAAUAGAAGAAAAACAUGAGCGAUAUGUUUAUAACAAUUAGCCCAUUAGUAUAUAUAAAUUGCUGUUAAAAACCCAUUAGUAUAAGUCUUGGAUAAAAAAUCUUAAUUGCAUAGAGCCACUUUGUCCACAAUUUUAAUAAAGUAGUUAUGUAAAUAUCAAACUUUAUUAGCAGUUUUUUCCACGACUUUGACGGUCUUCACAAUUACUACUCAUUGUACUCAAUGUUUCAAAACCACAAUGCUUAUGGUUGGCACUUCCUAAGAAUUUAAUGAGUGAUAGAAACCUUGACUUGGAGUUGGAGCUGGCUAAGCACUGCCUAAGAAUUUAACGUUCUCUAACAGAAUUGAUAUGAAUCAAAUGCAACACAAAAGUUCUCAAGACACAAUAUGAGAAUCAUUAGAAGAUAUAAGGUUAAUUUUGUGGUUAAAAAAAGUAAAAAAAAAAAGAGAAAAAAAUGUUGUAAAUUCAAAUGUCGUAACUAAUAUUUUUAACAAAAUUAAUAAAUUAAUAUUUAUGGAUAAAAAAAUAUUAUGAGUUAUUUUGCCUUAAUUCAAAGCAUAGUGGUUAAAUAAAUCGGAGCGGAACAUAGUCAAGAAAGUUGUUUACGUGGGCCUGUCAAUCUGAUUCAUCUAAUUCAAAGCAAAAGAAAUGGCAUCUUAUUAACAUUGGCAAAUCUUGAAAAUGAUCAAUUGAAGGUUACUGACAGUACUACAAUGACACCCCAUUUGUGAUUUGUGGAGAAAAAGAAAAAUUCAUGUCAUGGAAUGGUGUUGGUGUUGGCUCACAUGCUUACCACAAAUGUCACAGGCACAGCUGAAUGUUUAAAUGUGCUCACGGAGGGAGGGUCAGAUCUUCUAUUGCUAUUGGCUUGGAUCCAAAGGACGAUUUGGUUAUUGGUACAAUUCAAUAUAGCCAGCAAAGAUUGCCCCAAUGCAAGUCCCCAACUAAGUAAGCUAGCAUUGCCACUCAGCUCAAUGGUACUAUUGAUGUUCCCUAACUGCACUAUUGCAUCAAAUGGAAGAGUGUAGACCGGGUAGUAGCCUAGUCCUUUUUUGCUAAUGAAUUCUGAGUUUUAAUGGCUUACCUAACCCUUUUUUUCUUUUGGUAGACCUAGCUAGCCCUUCUAUCCAUAAGGACUUGGCUGAAUGGCUGGUGAUUUUAGGUAGGUCACGCUAGUCACAUGGUUCAAGUGAUGCAAUGAAAAAUGGAAAAAGAUAAAAAUGAGAUGAAUGAUAAUAAAAUAAAGGUUCAAAUAUAUUUUUCGUUUUUAUAAAAUUAUAUAUUUUUAUAAAAUUAUAAGUGUUAUUUUUUUUUUCUGGAUUAAAGUUAGUAUCCAAAUCCAUAAUGAUGAUUUAUACAUAUAAUCAAUGUAAAUGUAAUAUUUUCUAUAUCAAUUAUGUAUGUAAUCAAUCUAAAUAAACAUUUUUUAUAUCACUUAUAUAUAUAACUAAUGUUAAAAAAUUAUACAUAUAAAUUUAGAUAUAUACGAGGAUAAAAAUUAUCUUUUAGUCUAAAAUAAAUUACGAAUUUAAUUUCUUUAGUAUUAUUAUUUAUCUUUAAGUAUUCCUUAAAAGUAAUGAAAUAAUGCAAGUAAUUGUUAAAAUAUUAAAUAUCUAUUAUUUCAUUCCUUAAGUUGAUAUAUUUUAUUAAAGAUCGUGAACUAAUUCGAAAGAUUUUUCAAUACUUAAAAAAUUACUUAUGAUGAUUUUAAAUACCUAAAGGAUAAUGUAAUUUCUUAGGGACUGCUACCAUAAUCUAGAUACAUAUGAUAUUAUCGUCUUUACUUUUGUAAUUUUUUAAUUCAGAAACUUUUAUUUUAAGAGAAGGUAGUAUUUUGUGGGAGAGAUUAUAGUUUAUUCAAAAGAAUACGAAAUGUAUGUUUUUAAGCACUUAAUAGAUGAAUAAUACUUUAGAUAGAUCUGCCUAUAAAUGCACUAUUCUUGACUUAUUUUAUUUUAUUUUUGGGUGAAGUGCGGAGUGAUAUUCUCUAAUGAUGAAUGGCCUAUAUUACAAAUUAUUUUAUAUGUUGUUUGAAUAUUGGUUUUACAAUAUUUUUCACUCUUUGGUAAGAUAAUAAAUAUCCCUUCCUUCAUAGUGUUGAACUUGUUUCUCCUUACACAAAAAUGACACUAUUGGUUUUACAAUAUUUUUAAUACGACUUUAAAGGAAUUAUUAUGAAAUUAAUAAAUAUAUCAUUUAUGGCAGUUUUUUUUAACAUGUUUAGACAAUUUUUUUAAAUUUUAAUUGUUUCUCUUUCAUAACCAGCUAGUUCCCCUCUUUUUGUCACAGGAAUUGAAACUCAAAUUUAUAAAAAGAAAAUAAUUAAAAUAUCUAUCAAUUAUUAAGAGAAUGACUAUCCAAAAAAUAAUGGCAGUCAAACUAAUUUUUUAUAAAAAAAUUUAUAACUACCUUAAUGACGGGAAAUUAAGACAAGGGCUUAUCUUAAUCAUUCAUGAAGGAAAUUUUCAAAUCAACAAUAAAUUAAUUUGCCCAAACUUUUGUCUCAGUUUAGUUAUGCAAUAUUCAUUUUUAAUUUAAAUAUACUAGUAAUGUAUUUUUUUAUACUAUCAUUAUUUAAAUAUUAAUAUGUAUGAUACAUUUAUUAUUAUUUUUUUCUAUAAUUUAUAAUUUAAAUAUACUAGUAAUGUAAUUUAAACAUUUUUUUAUUGAUUAUCGAUAUAAAGUUUUUUAUACUAAAUAAAAACUAAACUCUAUAAAAAUAAUAUACCGAAAAAACUCUAUAAAUAUAUUACAAAAAUUUUAAAUUUUUUCACAUUAUUUUUUUUAAAAUUUUAAAAAAUUGCUUUUUGAAAGCAAUAGAAUAAGACCUUAAUUCGAUUUGUGUGCUAAGAUUGUUAAGGAUCCACCACCUUAACUAUUUUAUGGUUAUUUUAGGUUGUUCUUUACUUAACUUAAUUUGAUGAAAAAUUUCCCUUUAGUUGUUGGACCCUCUGCGUCAGGCUUUCCGGGUAGCAUUGUUGGGAAACAGAGCUAUGCCAUGAACGAAGGAGAAGAACCCCUUUCACUCACCAUCAUCAUCAUGCUAAUUCACAUAUCAUUUCACUUCUUUUAGACAAUCUCGUGCUUUGAAAUUCAUCACCAUUUCUUUCACCACUCUUCCACUUUCAUAACUAUGCAUAUAGGUAUGUCUGCGAAUGCAAUCAUCCAAACCAAACCUGCUACUUUUCCUCACAAAAUGCCUUCUUUUUUAGUUUUCUUAUAAUUUUCCAUGGCUUUCUCAGGUGCCCUUUUGUAGCUUUUGAUCCAUUGGAGGAUCGUCUAUUGUUUCUACUAUUUUGGGUGGUUUCUGGAUUUUGUGCGGUGUUAUACAUUUUAGAAAUUUCUUAAUAAUUGGGUACCCUUUGCUAUGUUUUUGUUGUCGAGGCUCUAUGUAGAGUUGUUUUUAGAUUGGUCAUAGAAAGAUGUGUUAUUUCUAUCUGUGUUCAUUGGAAAAACUUGGGAGAAGUUGUCAAAGAGAGAGUAAAUUGAAGUACUUUACCAAUAUAUGGUUCUGGCAGAUGAAUAAUUCUGUCUGAAAGUUGAAUUAGUAUCAUUUGAGUUGACGAGUGAGGUUACUGAAACCUCUGAAAACCGAAUUUUCUUUUUCCUUCCAUGGACUUUAACGGUUUGUCUUGCAUGCAUCAUUUUCAUUCAGCAAUUGCAUUUGGUCUCUUUUAGUGAAUCAUUGAGUUCCUCUUUGUAAUUUUGUAUAUUAGACCUGCUAUACUUGCAAGUGAAAUCCAUUUGCCUUUUCAUGCAAUGGUGCAAAAUUAUUUUGUGUUAUCUACUUUAGCACGGUUCAAGUGCUUAUGUGUUAGUCUUUAGAUGCUGAUCUGCGUUUUUGCGUGAACACAAACAUGUGGUACUGUUUUUUAGAAUAUUUUUCAACGUUGGACUCUAGUUUAGUCACUAAUUGUUGUUGGACAAUCAGAAAACUAGACAUUUGGAGCUGGAAAUGAAUGAAAAAUAAGUCAAUUGCAAAAAACUACCAUGUGCUUUGAAACUAAUCAAUUUGAUUCCUUGAACUUAGCAAAUCGUGCAUAAUGGCUCCUUUCAAGGGUUUCCUACACAUGCUCAAACGGUUAUGUGUUUGGUAAGUUUAGGGAGCCAUGUUACUGAGUUUUGAACCACAUGAAAUUUUGCUGCAAUUGUCCUGUAACUAGAGGGGGUUUAUAUUCAUUUUAGCGAAAUAUUAACUUAAUUCCCUAGUGCUUGUUACAAAUGUUCUCUUUUAAUUUAUUUUUUGUUGUUUUUGUAACACUGGUUUGCUAUUAUUUUGGUCUAACUGAAGCAGGUCAAAUAAAUACAUCUUCAGUGAAAUGUCUUGUCAACAGCAUUUCGCGAUUCAUACAUCUAGUUUCUUGCCAAGCAGUGAAACCUAUGCCCCUUCAAAAGAACUGUAAUAAUAUGGUUUGUGUGUUGAAGCAUUUGAAACCAGUGCUCGAUGAUAUUGUGGAUUUCAAAAUCCCUUUCGAUGAAAAUCUGCAUAGAGAAUGUGAAGAAUUGGAUAUGCGGGUUAAUGAAGCUAGGGAGUUCAUUGAAAAAUGGGGCCCGAAGAUGAGCAGGAUUCACAGUGUAAUUACUUACAUUCUUAAUUUCUUGUACUUGAACAAAUAUCAUUAUUCGACAACUGUUAUUGAACUUGUUUAAGAUCCUAAACCUCUAUGUUGGCAUUUGAACAAGGUCAAAAGAAACAAUGCACCACCAAUACCUCCCCCAUCUGUCUUUCUUCUCUGGAAGAGAUUGAUCACAACCUCUUAACUAUUUUGUUGGGAAUAUUCUAUUUUCAGGUUCUUCAAAGUGGGGAAUUGUUGAUCAAGUUACAGAACUCUUCAUAUAAGAUUUGUCACAUGAUAGUUAAAUCACUAAAGGGACCUGCAUCUGUUUUGGUUUCGGGUAAUCUUCAGGUAGGUCCAACGUUAAAAGUAAAUUUUUUCCUUAUCAUUAUUCAUUUGUUCUUCACUUCUCCUAUCCCACUCCCCUGUAAAAGUAAAAGGACAGGGUAAAGAAAGUCAAACUACUUCAUUUGGCAGUAAUAGUUAUUGUCUGUUUUGUGGGUGCCUUGCGGCUCAAUAGAAUUAUGGCACUAAUUGCUAGCUACUUUUCAGCAAUAUAUGCAGGAACUUCAGUGUCUUAAGAAGGAACCUGCAAUGAUCUAUAUAGAAGACGCAUUGAGAAAUCAAAGGGAUAAUAUCGAACCUUGCUAUGAUUCUCUAAAGGAAAUUAUACGGUUACUCAUGAUAUCAAACCAGGAGCUACUGAUAGAAAGUAUUGCUGUGGAAAAGGAAAGGUCAAAUGCUGAAGUCAAUAAAACAAAAGGGGACUUGGAUGAAAUUAACCAAAUUGUGAAUCUUGUGUGCAGUUUACGUGAUUAUGUGAUGAAAUUUGAGCGCCCUGAAGUCAAAAGUGGUGUUUCAAUUCCCCCCUAUUUUCGAUGUCCUUUAUCAUUAGAACUCAUGUCAGAUGCUGUUAUUGUGGCUUCAGGUCAGACAUAUGAAAGGCAAUCCAUUCAAAAGUGGCUUGAUCAUGGGCUAACUGUUUGUCCCAACACUCGCCAGAUACUUGUCCAUACAAAUCUCAUUCCCAAUUAUACUGUUAAAGCUAUGAUAGCAAAUUGGUGUGAGGAAAAUAAUGUCAAACUUCCCAGUAACUCUAAGCAAAGUAAUUCCUCUCAUAUUUCAUCCCCCUCAGAUCAUUUAUUACAUCAAGAUUUAGAUCGUCUGUGUAGCUUUGAGUCUUCAGCUAGUAGCGAUUCCAAUUCAAAUCAAAUUGCAAAUGCAUUUGAGAAACCAAAGGAUGAUAACUCUUUCAGAUCAAGCAGGGAAUCUGAUAGAAGCUGGAAUGGAGAGACAGAAAAGUUUGAGCAACAAUCCCCUGCACCUUCAUGUAGUAACAGCAGAAGUGAAUCAUUUUCAAGUUCUAUUUCUAGUACUGAUUAUGUAUUUCCAGUUUUGAAAGAGGUGUCAGGCAUAUCUAAUAAGCAUCAAAAUGUGGAGUUGUCUAGAGAAAUUACUGAUGGGUGUCCUGCUUCUCCUGCAUAUAAAGAAUCAGUGAUUUAUCCUUGGUUAUCUGGAAAGCAAUUUCAUAGCCCUGGAUCAAAAAUUGGAAGGAUGGAGGAUGAAAAUAAGUAUAAUGAGAGUAACAAUAUUAGUAUUACCAGUCAUUCAAAAGUUGCUUCCCAUCCUGUAGGAUCCAAUGAAUUGAUCACCACAUCCCAUGUCAAUGAGUUGAUUGAAGAUCUCCAGAGUCAAUCGAAUGAAACACAAACUGCUGCUGCAGAACAAUUGAGGCUCUGUACCAAGCAUAACAUGGAGAACCGCAUCAGUGUAGGGCGGUGUGGGGCAAUUAUGCCUUUACUCUCACUGCUAUAUUCAGAAAGGAAGAUAAUACAAGAGCAUGCCGUGACAGCUCUACUGAAUUUGUCAAUUAAUGAAGGCAACAAGGCCUUGAUUAUGGAAGCAGGGGCCAUAGAACCACUUAUCCAUGUUUUGAAGACAGGGAAUGAUGGUGCAAAGGAGAAUUCUGCUGCUGCUCUGUUCAGCCUCUCUGUAAUAGAUAACAAUAAGGCAAAAAUUGGCCGUUCUGGUGCAGUCAAAGCUUUGGUGGGUCUUCUAGCCUCAGGAACUCUUAGGGGAAAGAAGGAUUCUGCCACUGCUUUAUUCAACCUAUCAAUAUUCCAUGAGAAUAAAGCUCGUAUAGUUCAAGCUGGAGCCGUGAAGUUUCUGGUUCUGCUAUUGGACCCUACUGAUAAAAUGGUUGACAAGGCUGUUGCUCUUUUGGCAAACCUGUCAACAAUUGCAGAGGGCCGAAUAGAAAUUGCAAGGGAAGGGGGCAUUCCCUCACUAGUUGAAAUUGUUGAAUCAGGUUCUCUGAGGGGAAAGGAAAAUGCUGCUUCCAUCCUCUUGCAACUAUGUCUUCAUAAUCAAAAGUUUUGUACCCUGGUUCUCCAAGAAGGAGCUGUACCUCCCCUAGUUGCAUUAUCUCAGUCUGGUACUCCAAGAGCUAAGGAAAAGGUAUGGAACUAAUCCUCUUGUCUUUGUCAUCUAUUUUGGUGGUCAAAUUUUUAUUUAGUGUGCAUAUACAAUUGUUUUGCUACAUUUUUAUGAGCUGUGUUACUCUUCUCUAGGAAAAUAGUGUUCAAAUCUUGGUGUUCAAUCAUGGUUACAGAAUCAAUUUGUUGAAACAAUGUGCUAAAAAAUCUGGCAUUCUAAUCUAUGUUCUGCAGUGCAUUCUUCCCCCAGCCUUGCCCCCAAAAACAGUGAAGAAGUAAGUUUUGACCCUUUUGUUUGGGAUUGUUGUUGAGAUAUUUUCCCUUUGAUCUGAUAUUUAUCAAGUAGAAAGAUAGGAGAAAGCAUAAUUCAUGCUCAAGAGAAAUAAUAAUUUUCACAAUGGACUUUUUAAGUAACACAAACUUAUGAAAAAGUAUACAAACAUUGAGGGGUGAUUGCAUACAGAGUCUCACAUCAUAAGCAUAAUCUGAAACGUGGAAGAAGUGCUAACAAUAUGUUCGCUUACAUGCAGGCACAACAGCUUCUCAGUCAUUUUCGUAAUCAGCGUGAAGGAGUCAAGGGGAAGGGGAAAUCAUGAAGAUAAGGCAAUUUUGAUCAUUUCAUUGCCCUUUUCACUCUUUCCUCAGUAACUCCCUAAUCUACAUCCACUUGAGGACUUUAGGGCUCCUUUACUCAUUUUUUUAAUUCUUUUUAAAUGUAUCAUUUGUGUUGUAGGCACAAACCUUUUUUUUUGUUUCCUGCAUUAGUAGGGUACCCCCCCACCCCAAUUUGUUUUGUUGGUUUUAAUGGCUUGGUUUCUUUCUAGUAGUGAGAUCUGUUUUGAAGAAAAGGUAAGCUAUUUCUGAAGCUUUAUGCUUUGGCGAGAUGUAAAAACAAAACACUGUUCUGUUGGAGUCAUAAGUCAUAACUGAUGCGGUUGUGAGUCACUGUUGUACAUAUUUGUAAAUAUGGUAUAGAAUCUUGUGAUGUACCAUAAAUUGUUGUACCUCAUUCGGCCAUGUGAGCAUUUUUUUUUUAAUUUAUUCAAUCCUGUUUCAAUCUAUGCUUUCACUUUGACUUGUAUAUAUUAUAAUAUUACUGACCUCACCCGUUCAGAGGUAUACAAAGUUGAUUACAUUCUGAGAGCUUCGAGUUCAAUCCAGGACCUUGUUGGCUAGCAUCAGGUCAUGCAUGUCUUGUUUGUUAAACAAGUAAUGCUCAAAAUUUAAGCUCAUCCAGAAAAUGAUUUAGAAAUGGUGCAUGGUACUAAGGGGUCUAACUCCGUUGAACAUAGUGUGUGAAUUGUUGAAACUCCUUUGAUAUAUACCAAAAAAAAAGACAUGAUGUAUGGCUAUUACUUAUUUUAUAUUGUUACAAUGUGUCUAUUUGAGAAUAAUUUGUCCUUGGGGAUGGUUACAUUAUCAUUAUACGGUUGAUAUUUGUCAAAUACUGGUGAAUAGAAUUUUAUAUGAUCAUGUGGUUCAAGGGUACAUAAUUUCUCCCUAAGACAGGUGCAACUAAUGCACCCAGGUUGGAAUUUGGUGAAAUGGGUCAUGCCCAAAGUUAAACUGAAGCAACCAAUUAUUAUUUCCAAAUUUAUGGGCAUAUUGGUUGUAAAAAACGGUGUGAAAACUAAUUGUAUAUGGGAUUUUUUUUUCCUGCACUUCCAUGCUUGAUUCAUGCACUUCCUAUAUUGCUUUCAGCACAUAGAAAGUGCAGGAAGGAAUUUUCCUAUAUAUCUUUGACAUUAUGUUCUACCUAUGUUUAUUUGGGAUCAAUGAUUGGGUCAUGUUCAUGACCAAAAAUUGAUUGGGCUUGUGAUCUUUUUGUUCUGUAGUGUCUUCCAGCCAUCAAUUUAGCAAAAGGAAACAAACAAAAUUGACACGAUCAAUACUCCGUAGUCAGAAGGGGGUAUGGUUCGUGGCCUACUACCACAUGUGUCUAUCAAUAUUCAAGUACUAACUAGGUAAAAAAGACGUACAAAUUUGUCCCAAAAACUUAAAAGCAAUUCAAUGUGUUCUAUCAAUCCUUCCUUAACGAGGGAGAAAGAAAAAAUGUAAUGGUUAUGUACUCUAAUGCAAAAACUUUACUUAAAUGCCACCGUAAAAAGAAAGUAAAAAAGAGGAAAAGAAAAAGCUAUUAUUUUUUUUUGGAAAAGAAAAAGCUAUUAUACCAUUGUCUAAAUCGCUUUGAUAGGAAAUUAAUGUGUCACUUUGCUUUGACGUGCCCAAAGUUUUCUCAGAUCUUAACCUUAUAACCUUAAUAAUCAUUCAGGAAUAUAUUCCAUUUAUUGUCACUUUGAAAAUCUGCAAGAAACACAUGUUGAAGAAAACCUCAGUUGAAAAACACUACAAACACCAGUAUUAUUCUUUGCUUUUCCUCGAGAAAAGAGAAACAUGAAAAUAACGCGGGCAGAUUUGCCUCAUAUGCACGAUGCCCAGACUUUGAUCGUUCAAUUUGGAUGGGAAUUUACCUAAAUUAUUAUGGGCAAUUUGAAAUUACAAAAUACCCAUUCAGUGCACUUGAACUAACUAUGUUUUGCAAGCAAAGAAGGCAUUUGAUGCCGAAAGAAAAGCAUGAUUUCCCUCUAGUCCAAAGUUAGAAAGACAUUCUCUGAUAUAUAGUUGAAAUAUAUUAAAAAUUAUGAAAGUAGAAAUGAGGUUUUUUAAAUAAGAUGUAAGGCAUUAUUUCACCAACAAAAUCUACCAUAAUUAGUAUAAUUAGGAGAUAGUUAAGUCUUUUUAUUUUUUUUAUGAAUAGAAAUUAAACUCAGAUAUUACAAAUUUAUAAUACUUCACAUACAUUCAAUUAAUUGAGCUAGAUUCUCAUAGUCGAGUCUAUAAAACAUGCUGUAAAAAAUUCAAUACUAAAUAAUUUUUAUAAAAUACUUCAUUAAGAGAGAUAAUACACACUUCAUUUAUCUAUAAAAACUACAAAAACAUCAUUUCAUGUGUUUCAAUAAAUUUUAACUAUUAAUAGCGUGUUUUAAAAAAUAUUAAAAAUUGUGUUACUAAUAUUUUUCUAAAGUUUUACAACUAGUAAUUUUGUUGACAUGCAUAAAUAAAUAAACUUCCACUUAGACUAGUUUUUGGUUAGCAAAUAAAAGUGGAAUCCAUUAUCUUUAUACAUAUCAUUUUCAUCUUUUAUUCUCGCCUACUUUCUUUCUUGAAAAUCUUUUGGUACUUCUUCUUCCAAAACAUUUAUCACAUUUAAAGUUUUAAGGUUUCAAUUUUUUAAAAUUAAGCUGAUAAUUGUUUUUUCUUUCUAACUUUAUCUAGCUUUUACUGAUUAUUUGGUUUAAAAAACAUAAGAAAUAAUUAGGCCAUAUUUAAUAUGAUAUUUUUUAUAUGCAAAUUUUAAAAAGUAAUUAAAAACAUUUUCCUAAACAGAAUAUCACUUAAAAGUUUCCUCAUUACGUUUGAUUAAAAGAAAAUAUUUAUCAGUUUGCUUGGAGAGGAGGAGGAAAGUAAAAGUUAAUUAUUAUUAACAUCUUUUAUGCAUGUCGUCCCUGUAAGGCUUUUUACAUUAUUUUUUUUAUGUAGUCCCUUUUUGUCUUAUGAAAUCAAGAGCAAAUUGGAAGUGAGAAAGUGGUGAUGGAAAGCACUGAUCGGAGUAAUGUUAUUGGUGGAGAUGCUUUGCUUCUUUGGUGAAAUUGAAGGUGCCCUAACUGGGAGACAAAAAUGUGCCUUAGCAUGUUUGUAGUUGAAUGCGUAUUUGUGGGUCGAGACUCCAUUGUCACAAAAGUCGUCAAUACAAAAAAUAAUUAAGAAAGAAAAUGAGGAAACAAUGACAGGGGAAGAGUGUGAUAGCAGGGUACAAGGGGGUCACUUGAAUAAAGAGAUGCGUAAAUGUUGUAAAUUUUAUGUUCAAUUCAUGUAAAAAUAAUAAUAAUAAUAACAAAGUUACCAACGUUUAUCCAACAUUCAAAUGACCCGCUUCACAAAUAAUUUACAGAAAAUAUUAAAUUGUUUAAAAUGUAUCCUUUUAAUGUUUUUUAAAUAUAAAAUUAUUUAUUAAACUGUCAUAACUAAUUUUCAUUUAAUAAUUUUUCAAUUAAUAUUAAUGUUAAUUCAUUUGAUCUUUCUUCACUCUUGAGAGAUGAUUGAUCUUUUGUAAGAUUUUUAUUAUUUCUAACAGUAAGACAACUUUUAUUCUAGUAUUAAAAAAGACAAAUAAAAGGUUGAUAGGUAAUGAAAAUUAAAUGAAGGCCAUUUUAUUAUUAAUUAAUUUAAUUAAAAUUUGGGAAUGUUUACAGACCAAUAAAAAGUGAAACAAGAUUUUUGAAGUUUAUUAUUUAAAGUGCUUGCCUAAAAAAUGUAUAUUUCAAUUAAGAUUAGUACUGUCAAAGAUAUAGAUAAAAUAUAGUUGCUAACUAAUAUAGAAAACGAUAAAAUGUGGCUUAUUUUAAACGAAAAUAAAUACUUUAAGUAUUAAAAGCUAAUUAAAUGUUAUUUAUUUAUUGUUAAAAUAAAACAUAAAUAAAUAACAUGUUCCAGGGUUUUAUUUAUUUGGAGAAAUGGAGGUUAAAAGCAAGUGUUUUAUUUACUUUAGGUCCGUAGGAUAGUCGGAAGAGUUUGGGAGGGUGGAAAAGUUGAAGACAGCUUUUUUUUAAGCAAGCUGAAGACAGGUUAGUCAGCACAAAACACAUAUCUUAAGUCCUUUUUUUCUCUUUUAAAUAUAAUCUCUUUAAUUUUAUGUAAAGAAAAAUUCAUUAACUUUUGGAAGAGGAAAAGAAAAGCAUUCGACUAUUUCUCUCCCCCCCAGGCUCUAGCCUCCAAAACCAACCAAUUUUUUUUUUAUUUUAUAAAAAAUGUGUAUUUUGAUUUUUCCCUUCCUUUUUAUUUCUCUCACCAAAUAAUAGAUUAAUAUCUUCAAUAAGUAAGAUAAAAAGUAUUAAUAAAAUAAGAGAAUAGUAUUGCAAAAAGAACAUAUUUUGAAAUUGAAAAUAUUCAAUACUUUUAAUUGUCAUACAAAAAUAUUAAAUGACAAUCAUUUUAAAUAAUAUUAUAAAUGAAGCAAGGUUUUGAAGAUUCCUUUAUCUUUUUGCAGUGAGGUUGCAAGUUGAAAAGCUCAAGGAUCUGCAGCAACUUGAAGAAUUCAUUAAUUAGACAGCAGUUAAAGUGCUUGUUUCUUCCUUAAAGAUCUCUAUUGAUUGCUUAUGGAACAUGAAUCAACCAGCUGUCUAUGAUCUGUAUUAUUGUUUUGUGGGUACAGAACAGCAGGGCUAAGUCGUAUUUGUAGUUAAGUCCCUGAAUCCUUAGUACCAUUCACAUAACUAAGAUUGGGUCCACUCAAGUGCAUUAGCUUUUCUCAUGAAAGCCUUUCCUUAUCUCCAAAUCAAAUCAAAUUAUUAAGCAUUACAACCCUCUUUUACUUCAGUUAAAUCAUUGACAGUUUAUUAUAUAUGUGGUCCACAAACAGUUGGUAUUGAAUUUUAUAUAAUUAUAAUUAUUUUAUUUUUAAUUAAUAUAUAUCUUAGAAGAAUAUUUUUUUUAAAAAAAAUAAAGGCAAUAUAAAUUGUCGUACUUUAAUUGUAAAAAAAUAUUUAUUAAUAAUUAAUUAUGAUUUCUUCCAAUCCUAAUUUUAGACGACUCUACGUGUUAACUCCUGUUGACACAUUUGGUCAAGUCUUUCGACUACAUUAAUUAACUGUGAUUUGAGUUCUAUUUUAGAUUUUUCUUGUUGGCGGAUUAAUGAUAUAUAAAUUUCAUUGUAAAUAUUAGACGAGAUGGGUUAUCUCUAUUUGGCGUUAGAAGGGCAUGCCUUUUCCUAAUAUAUAUAUUUUUUUAGUAAAAAGAAAAAAAGAGAGUUGACUCUAUGUUGAAUAUAUUAUAUACUAAAUUUAAUGUAUUUUGCAAGAUGAAUGACAUUGAAAUUGUUAGAGGAGCGAAUGACAAAAAUGCAUGUCCUUAAGUUGGAGUUGUACUUCAAGUUCCAUCAUGGGUGUACUGCCAAGUGAAGUGAAAACAUGGCCUUCAUUGUGUUCACUGUUUUCUCAACUUACAACAUUUAUGCAAUCCUGCUUCCCCUCCCAAUUAAUAGUGACAGAACAAACGGCCUGAUUACUUCAAUUAUGAAUUAUCAAUGGUUACUUACCACAGUCUAACACCACUAUUAAUAACUUGAAAGCUCAUUGUCACAUCAUUUACCAGCUUUUUUCCUUCACCUGCUACGUACCACCGACACAUAUUCGGGAUUUGAAAACAAUAUAGCAAUAAAAUUAUAAAUAUAAGAUUAAAGUAUCAAAAUUGUUGUGAUUAUUAUUGUCAUGGGUAUGUAUUAUAUCAAAUACUUUUACUGAGUUUUACAUAUAUAUUUAUAUAUUUGCUUAUUUUUUAAUUUCUAUGACAAUAUAAAUGUGAUAUAAUAUUAAUUAAAUGAAUAAUAAUAUUUCAUUAUAUAGUAAUCAAUAAAGUUGACAUAUAAAACAUUAAAUUUGUGUAAUGGAGUUAAUAAAUAUUAUAUAGAUGUAUGUUGUAUUGAAAUUCACUUUUUUGUUAUUUCUUUUUAAGUUAUUCCUUCAAAACGAUAUCAUUUUGAGAGUUAUGUUAAUAUUUUUAUUGCUUGAAAUAUGACAACUGAAAAGUGAAGUCCAUGUUGUAUUAUAUCUCAGUCAUGUCUCAUCUAUGUUGUGAAUUCUAGCAUUAGUGUUGUAUCCAUACAUAUCACUUGUAUGUGUCCGCGCUUUAUAAUUAAGGGAAGAGCUACAUUUAACGUCCUUUCCCCACGUGAGUUUCUCACCUGAGCACUUCUCCAAUCCUCCGUUGCUGCAAAAAAACUGAGAAACACUGCCAAAAAUUCCAAUGGGAAUCAUGGGAUAUAGGUUAAAGAAGAAGGUAUUGUUGGAUCGGAGGCUUUUUUUUAGAUUCCAGUAAUAUGACUAAAAUGAUGUAUAUAAGAAAAGAUAAUAAUCUUUACAGUUAGUUUUAGGCCGGAGUUGAGUUAGUUCAAAUCUAAAGUUAAAAUAGUGUCACAAACAUCUAUCAACAUGUAGUUCUUGUUCAAUCUAUUGAGUUAUCUGUCAGUUGAUCAGCUAUUAUCUAUUUUUGUAAAUUUCACAUUCUAUAUGUCUAGUUCUUCAUGUGAGAAAGUAUGAUAAAGAUUUAAUAUUGACUAAUAAUAUAACUAAAAUAGUAUAUAUAAGUAUGAGUAAUCGUGGUCACUUCAUAAACUAGAUAAUUUGUAUUUUAGCUUAGUGCUUAUUUUUCAACUUAUAAAGAUGGGAAACAAGGAGAUUCCAAACAGAGGAUGAAUGUGAUUCCCUAUCUAUAUAGGCUUUUAUGGGCUUGAAGCUAUGCUUUAACAAACAAUAAUCUUGAUAACCACAAACAUACAAAGAAGAGUGAAAUUGGCAAACAUAGAAUAGAUGUUACUGUUUAGUUUCUUAGCAUAUUGAUUAUAUAAUUAUAUUUUGGUAAAAAUAUAUUGAUAUAUUUUUCCAACUCGUAACAGCUUCAUGAAAGAACCCUUUUUCAAUCCAGCCUAGGAUAUUGACCACAAGAACUUCAUCCCUUACUCUCCGGGAAAAUUAUUCAUGCGGGGGUUAUCUCCAAUACUUGUAUUAAAACGCAUUCGUGUUGGUUUUUGUGGCUGUGCAAUGACGACUGGUACCAUUCUAAAUAUUAGUAAUUUGACCAUAGAUUCUCGCCCCAUGUGGACUAAAUUUAAAAGUCCGAGUAACAACAGGCUAUAUGAAGUGUUCUAUGGAAUUGAUUAUCUAUUUUUAUGAUGUGAAAGGCACUUCAUGAAUUGUCAAGUACGCUUGAAAGUUACAUUUACUUUGACAUUAAAUAAAAAUGUAUAUAAUUUUAAAAAAAUAAGAUACCAAUUCUUAUUUCAACUAACUAGAAUGGUCCACCCACUAAAGCUUAUUUGGCGGGUGUGAUUGAGAUAAUCUAUGAUCAUGAAACAUGUGGUGUCCCCUCACAUAAUUUUGAAAUAAUGUUUCUUGCUUGUUUUCCUUUUCACAAGGGCAUAAUAACGUCUUGCAUUUGAAAGAUAAGAAUAUACGUAUAUAAGAAGAAAAAAGAAUUCUGAGUACUGUUGUGAUGGAAACAAGAGAAGGAAGAGGAACCAAUACAAUAUUGAAUGGAAGAAUUUAUAUAAUAACACUAAUAAAAUUGUGUGGAAGGCAAGAAAACAGUCUAAGAUCCUAGUACCGGAUUUUGUCAUAGACAACCCAGCAAGAAUUAAUUAAAAAAAUAAUCGAAGACAAAAAAAUUCCCUCUCAAUAUGGAAUAUUUAAUUGCCCCCACUCGGAUGCCUGUCCUGGAAAAACAAAACCAUUUGGUCAUUAAACUAAGAUGAACAGGAGUACAUGCAAAGUAAAGGGUGUAAAAAUAUUAAAGAAGUGGAGAAAGACAUGGAAAAUGAGAAAGAGGCCAGAGUAUGAAUUAUGAAACUAUAUGAAUAUUGCAAAUGUUUUCAUACAAAUGUGUUAAUAAUUUGUAAUUACAUAUGAGUAAACGCUGCAUAUAAUUACGUGCUUCCCUUCAUUUUUUCGUUAAUUUCACCGAAAUCUAACUGCAACAAUAUGUUUGUCCUCCCAUGAUGUUUAUUUUCUAUUUGAUCUUUAAUAUAGGAAAAUGUGCUGAUUUGAUUGUUAAUGAGUUCGGUGUCAACCUAAUUGAGAUUGUCCUUCUCAAUUUGCAGUAACAUAUAUAACUCUGGAUUUUGAUAAAUAAAUAAAAAAAACAAAAAAAAACUGCAACAAUAUGUUGCAUUCAAUGAAUAGUCUAUUAAGUAUCUAGGAGGGUUCCAUGAUUCAAGUAUACUACAUUAAGCUCAUUUUAGUCAAUAAGAAACUCAAAAUGUAUCAAAUAUGUUUUAAACUUUAUGGUAUAUAUCAACAGCAAAUUUAGAAAUAUAUAUUGACUGUGAAAAUAAUAGCAGAUGGUGGUGAAUGGUGAUACAGUUAAGGGUGACCGUGCUGAUGAAGAUGACAAUCUAUAACAGUACACAGUAGUCCCAGCAAGGAUAAUCCAAUCAACUAGCUAUUGGCUUGUUAGUUGGACUGUUUUGUUUCCUUGUUAAUAAGAAAUCAAAAUGGCGAGGAUGGUCAAGUUUGUUGGCUUAAUAUUAUAAUGAGAACUUGAAAAGGGCUAAAAUCUUUAAACAUUAUAGUAUUCUACCAUUACCAGCUGAACAUACCAGUACAAAUGGGGGGUGGGAGAAGAAAAUAAUUACAAUAUUCCUCACCAUGUAUCUAACAAGAAACCAAGACGAUGAUUUGUAUUCAAUAAAAUCACGUAGACUAUACACAAAUCAACUUUACUACAUGAUUGAAAAUGGAAUAGUUAUGCAUCAAUUAGAUGGACCACAAGACACCAAAAUCAAAACAUCAAUUUAGCACGAUUAAGCUUCUUGCCAUGUAGUAAACCAGCAUACUGCAUGCGUACCUUAGAAUAGAGCCCAACAUAUAUAGGAAGCAUACGUAUAUAUUGAUGACUGUCUACGUGUAUAAAAUAAAUGAAUAAAGCAUUCUUUUUGUUUUAAGCAAAGAAUAAAGAAUUCUUGUGACAGCUAAUCAAACAACACAAAAAAACCAAGUACUUAAAGAAGGCAUUAUUCCUAACAAAACGUCUGAUUUUAAAGCAGUAGCUUGAGAAGCAAAAAUAAAAAGCAAUUUAUUUUAACAGAAAAAGCUAAUUUAAUAUGUUUGUUAUUAUUCAUAUCCCCUUCUAAUAACAUUUGAUCCACUUCAUGAAUAUUCAUAAUUGAUGAUUUAUUAUCUUGUGUGCAUGUGUGCGUGUGUGAAAAAUCUUUUCUCUAAAAGUAGUUUUCAUCAAAUUAAUAUUAUUUUAUGAUUAACUUUAAAUGUUAACAAUUUAAAAACUCUAAUACAUAUCAUUAAGGGUAUGUUUGGAAUCACGCUGAGUAAAAAAAUUCCACUUUUCAAAAUAAAAAUGCCAAAAACAACUAUGUUGUAACUUUAGCCUAAAAGUUUGAUGGCUUUAGAUUCAUCUAUUUUCCAAACACACACUAAUUCUAUAUUUACAGUGUGAUCAAAAUAAUAGAAUCGUCAAAGUGAGCAACCUAACUAGCUUGACCAGCAAGCUAUGUUGUGGAAUGUAGACUAAUUUAAAUUUCUUAUAGGCUACACUUUUAUCAACUUAACUUGAUUGUGUGUGUUAGUCCUAGGAGUACUUUAAAUGAGUUAAAUUAUUUGUAAACUAUUACUCAUUAAAUACUCAAUUCUUUAAUUAAAUAAAUAAGUCCAAACUUUAUAUUAUGCUUGCUUAUUUAAAUGAGUCAAAUCUAAAUUUAACAAGUUCGACAUUAAUAGUAUGUGACAAAUAGUUAUAUAUAUCAUGAAAAAAAUUCAAUUACAUAGAUUUGAUAAAAUCAUACUUCUUGUUCAACACAUAUUUUUAUUUGUAGAUUAUUAUCUACUAUUAAAAUGUUUUUAUCAAAUAUCUAAUUGAUAAAGUUAAGAAUAAUUUAUGGAAAAGUUUCUCAAAAUAAAAAUUAAUUUAAGUUAUAAAAUGAACUAAAUAAGUCAGGUUCAAACAUUAGAUUUUUUUUUAAAAAAAAUGCUAAGUUCAAUCGUUUAGUUAGGCUCAUUUAAAUAAUUGAGUUAAAUUUUAAUCAUCCAUUUUUUCACAAACCAAAUCUAAAUUUUAAUUCUUGACUUAGCUCAACUCGUUUACUUUCUUAGUUGAUCCAUUAGAUGGAACCAAAUUGAUCUGAUUUUUCUCUCUUAAUUAUAUUUAAAUUUUAUAAAAAAAAAAAUAUAAUAGUAGUGAAUCAAAUAGAUAUAGUAGUCUUUAGGCCUGUAUUACAAAGGCCCGACCCGUCUAACCCUCCUUUAGUCGGGUCAAUUAAAACCUAGUAUGUUUCAAGCCUAAUAUUUGACAACUCUACACAAGUGACAUGAAUAACUUUUCUCACCUUUGUUCCUUAAGUCCUUUUUAUUUUAUUUUUUAAAAAAAACUUGAUCAAUUAUGUAAAAAAAAUAAAAUUAAAUAAUCGAUGGCAAUAAUACAAAUCAUAAAAAAUUUCUACGUACUCUAUUUUAAAGUUAAAAAAGAAUUGCUUGUUUUAUCAAUAUAAUAAGUUCGUAUCUUUUUUUAUCUUCUCCGCUAGAUAACAUAUCAAAGUUCAGAAUAAUAUUAACUCCCCACAUUUAGGUCGCCUUCAUAAUAACAAAACUUUUUAAUAAGUUUUUUUCGUCUUCUUUUUACUUCCUUUUGAAAAUGUAAUCAACUAGUUUUUUAGCCAUCUUAUAUGGACGUAUAUCAAAAGGUGCAUCUUAGUUGGUUGAGCAAGACUAAUGAAUGUUGUAAAUCAUGUGUGGUAGUAUGUUUAAUUUCUAUGGAUCAUAAAAAAUAUUAAAAAGAUAAGACUAAAAUACAAGUCCUUUUAAUUUUUAUUUGUGACAUUUUAUCUUUCACUUUUAAAAAAUUUGUAAUUUUAGUUUUUUUUAUUUUUUAAUUGAGAUAUUUUAUCUCCUACUUUUAAAAUAUUUGUAAUUUUAGUCUCCUUAGUUAAUUUCAAACUUAUUGACAAUUUCUAUGAAUGAUUAAUGUAUUUAAUAACAACAAAAUAGUUUAAAAUUUAAUUGUUAAAUUAUUUAAUUAUUAUACAAUAUUGGGUCUUGCUAACAAAUACUCUUAGAACAUUGGUUAAGAAAAAAAAAAUUCUUGUGUAAAUUAUGAAAGAACAUAAAAAAAAUAUCAUGAACAAUACAAUUUUUUAUCUCUCAAUAAAAAUAUUUCUAUUUUAAAUUCCUUCAUUAAUAUCCUUAAUUAGGACACUGGUCAGCAUAUGCUACAAUAUUUAAUAUUAAAUUAUUUGUUUCACAAGAUAAGAUAAAAAUGAGUAUAAAACUUUUGUCUCAUAUUAUAUAAUUAUAUUGUUGAGUAUAAUGAAGUAAAAAAAAUUAAAAUAUUUAACUAAUAUAUGGAUUUUUUUUUUAAAAGUUACAGGUUCUAUAUGAGUACGUAAUUUUUUAUUCUUCACAUUAUGGUUGUUUAAUAGAGAUAUUAUAUAUGUCAAAAUAAGAAAACAAAAUUGAACCGUGAAAAUAUAUACUUUAAAUCUUAAAAUAUCAGAGAUUUAAUAGAGGAAAUAAAUUUUCUUUUGUAGGUAAUUAUGAUGUGUUUCUACUUAUUAUAUUAUAAUAAUAAAAAGAAAAUAUUAUUCUUUUCUGUGACAACCGAUGCAAUUUUAAUUAGCUCAAUAGAUUAUAUAAAUUAUCAAAACUCUCACCACUAAACUGACCAAGUGCGUAGGAAGUAUUGUUAUUUGCACACCAAUAAAUGCAUGUCAUUUUAUAGAAAAAAUAGAAAAUAAGAGAAAAAAAUUAAAAGUAAUUCCUUUGCCUAUAAAAAAAUGUCUAAUGAGUGUGAAAUUGGAAUAUAAAAAUCAGUUUUGCAUUAUAUAUUUCACUUUUUUAAUAUUAGAGUUAAAAAAUUAAUCUGUAUUCAAAACGUCAUAAACACUGAAGAGAGCUAAGUCAUUUAAGUAGUCUAUUGAGUAUCUCAUACUUCAUGUGAAACUUAGGCAUCCCGUAAUAUCAAACUCUUCAUCAUAUAUAACAUCACUCUUAUGAGUUAAUAUCCUGAUAGCUAACACUACGACGCUUUACUCGAUCGGUCUGAUUAAUUAACCUUAUUGUAGGUAAUCAUUUCCAAGAAACCAACAAUAAAAUUUGAUACUAAUCGAUAAGCAUCCAAACAUCUGGUGAACUCUUCCUUAAAAUUAAGCUAGGAAUCAAGGAGGAGAACUAACCCAUUUAAGUGCUUCAUCAAACAUUCCACAAAACUCAACGUGAGACUUAAAGAUGGGCAUAAUACCUAGAUCCAUGUUAAAAUAUUUGAAAAGUAAGUAGAAUGACUUAUUUUCAUUUAACUAAUAAAAAAUAAUUUUAAAAUAUAUAAAAACUAAUUAAAAAAAAUAUAUAAAAUAAUUUUAAAAUCAUUCUUGAAAAUAAUUUUUGUCAAUUGAAAACUUUUUUUUAAAUCAGUUCAAUUUUUAUCAAUAAAUAUUAAUAGUAUUUAUUAGAAUAUUCGAAGCUAUUAUUAUCUCUGGUCACUCCUCCCUUCAAUCGUUGAAACUCUCUUCCAAACCAUCGUAUUAACUUUAAAUCUCUUUUAAAUUAGUUCUAUAAAUAUACUAAGAGUGUUUGGAUAAGAAUUUCAAAUACUUCAAUUGGAAUUUUUUUAUUUUUAAAAUUUUGUAUUUGGAUAAAAAAAAUUAAAAUUGUCAGGAUGAAAGAAAAUGGAAUGCAAAGAGAAGAGAAUAUAUGGUUGGUGUGCUUCUAAAAAUAAGAAUACUGAUACGGCAUGGGAAGUCGUAGGGGAAUCGGGAUACGGCGACAUACAUCACCUCACCCGACCACAACAUUCCGUCAGCGAUCCAAGGAAUGAUCGAGAUCCUCCGCGCCGGCAAGCACCUCCGUCACGUGAUGGAUAGCGACAACUGCUCCCAUGACUGGCAGGUGCAAUUCUAUGUGUCCCCCUACGCCCGCACCCGAUCGACGCUCGCAAGUUCAGACGGCGUUUCUUGAAGAAGAUGAUCAUCGACGUGAGGGAAGAGUCACGAGUUUGAGAACAAGAUUUUGGAAACUUUUAGGUUGAAGAAGAGAGAAGGAAGGUUAUAAAAGAAAUACAUAAAUAUUUUGAAAAGCUUUUCUAUCAAUAAGAGAAUUUCAAUUUAUCACAUUUUAAAAGAAAAUUAAAAUUUCACAUUUUUAGUUGUUUAAAAUUCCAAAAAUUUAAAUUCUUCAUAAGAAAAACAUUUAAACAAUAAAUUUUAGAUUAAAAAAAUUUAAAUUCUCUAAUAAAUUACUUUUCUCGAUUAAAAUUUUGUAUCCAAACGCACUUUAAGUGCAAAUUUAAUUGUAAAACAAAAUAAUUGAGCCAAGCACAUGUAACUAUUGUUGGAAUGCAUUUUUGUGGCCUAAAAAACGUGAAUUUUGUGUCAACCAAAUAGGAUAUGCUUGAUUCAUAGUAAAAUAGCUCGACUUUAAAUUUAAAAUAUUUUUUUAUACAAAAAUUCCUUUGAAUUUUAUUUCUUUUUUUUUUCAUUUUCAUAAAAUGAGGGUGGGAAGUGGACAAAGGUGGUGUCAGAAAUUAAAGUUUCAUCUUUCUCUUAAGAGAAAGAAAAGGUUAAAAAGGAUAAACUUGUAGGGGCAUUUGGGUCAAUUCAAAAGGAACUGUCAUUCAAGGCUACAGGGUCAAGAAACAGAAUCAUGUUAUUCCCUCAUUUUUACCCCUUCAAACUUUUUCCUGUCUCCAUCGAAACCUACUGUCCAACCUUUCUUUCCUAUUUCCUCCAAAGCCCUAGUCCCCUCCCUUCCUCUCUUUCUCUCUCCUUCCUAACAUACAGCACUGCACAAACACAAGGAAGAAUAUUAAUACGACCAUUAACAAGCGACGAUGAAAAUUUGAGUUUGCUCCACCUUUUUAAGGAAAAAACCCAAUCCCUUAUCAAUCUCGGAAAUCAAAGCUACUAAAAAAAACACCAACAGUUACCCUUGUGAGAGAUUUCUAGUAUUGCUCAACAAAUACUCACAACUUUGCUGAAUAGAGCAAACGACGAACUGGCCACUCACUCUCCCAUCAAUCUCAUCACAUUCUCAACAUCAAUAAAAUCUUCUUUUGCUUCACCAUUUCCAGGUACAGUACAUGUGUGUUCCAAUAUUUCUAUCUCCAAUAAAAUUAAAAUAAAAAAGAUAAAAAGCCAUCAAGUCUCCAAGACAAAUCAACAAUUAAUCAGACUUUGUUUCCUUUCCUUCUUUUUUUUUUUAAAAAAAAAAUUAUUUUUUCCCUUUAAGGUUGUUGUUUUCAUUUACAGUAACUUCUAAAAGCAAAAAAAAACAUUAAAAAAAAUUAUUCAAACAAUAGGACAUUUCCUCAACUGUUAUCCAAACUAUAAGUAUAGUAAUUCUUUAUCUCAAUUAACCUUCAUCUCUCUCACACACUCCUCUCACCAGCUCUGGUCACUGUCUUAGGAACCCUAGAACAGCAACCCAGAUAAACUAUUCCAAGACACACAACACACAGAAAGAGAGAAUCAAAACAAUUAAGCCUUGGAUCUGCAUAGCAAAGCAAAGAACAAGGGCCAUGGAUUCAAAUAUUCAAGACUUUAUAGACACAUGUAACUCCGACAACACCUGCAACCUCAUCACAAAUAGCAUCACCACCGCCAACUUAACAGCUAGUGCUGCCUCUUCCUCUCCUGCUUCCACCUCCAUCACCAGCAGCAGCCGCUACGAGAACCAGAAGCGCCGUGACUGGAACACCUUCGGUCAAUACCUCAAGAACCACCGUCCCCCUCUCUCCCUCUCCAGGUGCAGCGGUGCACACGUCCUUGAAUUUCUAAGGUACACACACACCCUCUUAAUUAGUCUUGCACACCAUGCACCUCUUCUCUCUCUAUAUAUUUUUUAUAAAACCCACAUGUAUCUUUUAUCAGAACCACCAGAUAAUAUCUGGAUGACAGAGCUCUCCUUCUGAUACUUGGAAAGAGAGCCUGUUGUCACUAUCUAUCUGACUCUCGAGUAAAAUUAUUUUCUUUUCAACAUACAUACAUUGGGUCUUUGUUAUGUAUGUAUGAAUUUUUUUUUGUUGUUAUUGUUAUGUGUGUGUAUAGGUACCUGGAUCAAUUUGGGAAGACCAAAGUGCACACACCGAUCUGCCCUUUUUACGGGCACCCGAACCCUCCGGCGCCAUGUCCAUGUCCUCUUAGGCAAGCUUGGGGGAGCCUUGACGCACUCAUAGGGCGUUUGCGUGCAGCUUUUGAGGAAAAUGGAGGGAAGCCAGAGGCAAACCCUUUUGGAGCCCGAGCUGUGAGACUCUACCUUCGUGAGGUUCGUGAUCUGCAGUCCAAAGCCAGAGGAAUUAGCUAUGAGAAGAAGAAAAGAAAGCGUCCACCACCUCAGCAACAACCCAUGCCAAUACCUCAUCACCCUCUUCCUCCUCCAGGUGCAAGUGCAACUCAUUAGAGGAAUUCAAUUCUCACACUCCAUGCCAAAUUCUACCACCUUCCUCUCUCACUCAAUCUUUUUCCUUUGUGUCCAAACUCAAAAAACCUUCAUCUCCAAGUGGGAUCUCUUCUUUUAAUCCCAAUAUGCUUUUAGAGUUAUGAUCUAGCUAAUUUAGUAUCAUGAUAUUUAGGGUUUUUUUAUUUUAUUUUUCUUUGUUAAUUUUUUUAAGUUGGUGAAAGCUGCUAUAUCUCUGGUCCAUAUAGACUGUUUGUCUUUGGAUCCUGUUUGGUCAGGGAGAAGCAAAAGUCUAAAAUUAAAUUCUGGGAUAUAUCAUGCAUCUCUCUGCUUUAAAAGCAGACAGUGCGGUACUGGUAGUAGACUGAUAGUGCGUGGGAAGUACUGAAAAGUGGAAGUGAGACUGUGAGAGAGUGAAUGGAUAUACAUGGAAGCCAUGAUCCUUGUGAUGAGGAAACCAAAAGUAUGGUAUUAUCAUUCAUAGUUCUAUAUAAUAUAUGUACUUUUCCUUUUCUCUAUGUCAAGCUUAGACUUGUUGGGGAUUAAUUAUGUGCCUUACCUUAAUUUAUAUAUAUAUUAUUUUAAUUUUCUGAUUUAAAAGGGUGUUGAAUUUUAUUAUAAUUGCUUGCAAAUUCGAACUUGAUAACUAUAGGUAACAAGUCACUUCCGUACAUGGUGAUGUUGGAUAACAUCUUCGAAUAUUGAUUAUCAUUAUUAUUUUCUUAUACCUAUAAAUGAUUAGUACUCUUUCUUAGCUUCUUUUUUUCCUCGUAGUUGCCACUUAUGUGCUUUACUGUCUCCCCCAAACCCAAAUGUAUUUUGUGUGAAAAACAAUGAUAGUGCUUCUAAAGCUUAAUCAUAGCAACUUCUGUAUGUUUCAAACUGACAAGUUUUAUUCUCUCUCAAAUUCGACUAACGGCUGACUGUUAAGUAAAUCAUUUUGAUUGGUGAUUCUGAUUCAUAUUAUAAAUGCUGUAGUGCUGUCAUUUCAAAUGAAGUGAAAUUAUAAAAGCCAACGAAAAUUAAUGGCAGACGAUGUAAUUAAUUCCUAUAUAUGUGACCAAACCUUUUGUUCAAAAAAAUGACCAAACCUUUAUUAUUAAUUAGCUUAAUAUAUUGUUUAAUUAUGAUCCUAGACCUUAUAUAUGCUUUUCUUCUAUACUACCUUAUACGGACAUAUAUGCCGACUAACAAUUAAUCAAAAUCUCCUUGUAGAUCAUGAUGCAUAUCAUUAAUUCACAAGUUUUCAUUUGAAUUAGGUCAUGUCUGCCAAAUGGUUGGUGCCGAUAUAAAAAAUGUUUGUCAAAUGUCGAAAUGAGAGCUAUAGGCUCUUUAAUCUGCACUCGCUUGAAAAGAUAAUAUGAUAUGGUGGCAAGGUAUUUUUUCACCAUAGUAGGAAGUAGCACAGAAAGCCAAAUUAUGCAAACUUGUCUUAAGAGUAAAGAGACUACAAAUAGGUCAGCAAAAAAGAAAAGCAAAAAGUUACUUUGGUAAUUUAUAUAUUUUGAAAAUAAUUAUUUUUUUUGACGAGAAAUUAUUUUUUUAUAUACAAAAAUGAAAAAAAGAAAUUAGAUGAGGAGAAUAAUUGAGAAAUCUGCAUAAUAAGCUUAUAAAUUAGUUUAUUCUAUAUCCAACCUUCAAUACUUUUUUAAUUGUUGAAAUAACUAUAAAAAAUUUCUACAACUUAUUCAAAUUAAACCAGAUGUUCUAAAAGAGUCAGUAAGAAAUUCUCAGAAUCAAUUUGGCCGACAAAUCUGUCUGUAAAAAUUUUGGGUCAUCCAUUCCUUUUGUAUUAUGUUAUUAUUAUGGCUCAAAAAGAAGAAAUUUCCCAAUCCCUCUGAUCAUGAAGAGGCGCCUAUUGUACCUCCAUUUGCUAAAGCGAAACCCAAUAAGACAUUGGAUAUAUGCUGGAAAGAUAAGCUAAGCUUCUUAUUUUCCCUUUUGAAGUGAUUCUAGUGGGGCAUAUAUGAGACUACCACUUCAAGACAUAGAGGAUCUAUUCUUUCCUCUAAUGAUUUAGGUAUAAAUUUCAUAAGUACUUUAGGCUGUAUAUGAGGGUCAUACGAUUAGAGCACUAUAUAGCCUUAUGAUGCCAUUUUUAAAAUAAUCAGUGGUUAAUGCAGUUAACAUCGUACUAAAUUAAGAAGUAGGCAUUUGAUAUUUUUAUUUUUAUUUUUUGUGGUGUAAAGGAUUUUGAAUGUCAAAAUAUUUUUAUGAUAUAAUACAAAAGUAUAAUGAAAAAUAUGAUUUUAAUAUUUCCCAAUUAGUAAAUCAUUAAUUUUUAAUCUAGAUCACAUGUAUUUUUUAACGGAGAUAACUUAAGUAAAAAAUGAUUAUUAUGGAUAAGAAUUUUAUUUCUUCUAAAUUUUUAAAAUAGAUGCAUACUAAAGUACGUCAUCUUAUUCUAAUUUUUAAUAAUAAAAAAAUGGAGAAGAUGAACUAUUGUGUAAUGGUGGAAGUUUUUGUUGCAUUCACUUAUGAUGGCAAUAGAAUCCAUGUUCAAUGUUCAAUUCACUAUUCGUGAAAAAAAAAUGGACCAAUGACAAUUAAGUAUCAUGGAUGAAAUUAGUUUUAGUGGAUUAAAAAAAUUAUCAUGAUUUUUGACCUAAGACAAAAGUAAAAUAUAAAGUAUUUAUCGAUUCUAUCAAUAAUUAAUAUUGGUUGAAAAAAUUGACCAAAAACUUUCAAAAAAUAUUCUUUUAGUUAUGUUUGUUCAUUCACAAAAAUUCGAAUAUGAAACCUUAUUUAUAAAUUGUCUAUUUAAGAUUGUAAGAAAUCAACCUACCCAAAUAACUAAAACAGAUGGGAAAAUACUAAUUAAGGAAUUAAAUUUGGGAACAUGUAAUUUUUGAGCAAAUAUUUAAAAAUUUAAUAUUCUAAUAAUUUAAAAUAUAAUUAUUAGUAAAUUACAUUAUUGCUCCAUUCAUAUUAAAAAAAUAUUUUUUAAAUAAGAAUACGAAUCUUCAUUUAUUGAGUUCAAAUAAUAAUUUUAAGGAAUUUUUAAUUCAAAUAAUAAUAAUAAUAAUAAUAAUAAUAAUAAUAAUAAUAAUUUACUGAUCAUUUCUAUAUUUUUUUUAGUCAUGCCUAUGAAUAUUCUAAAAGUAUUAGUUAAAGAAUUAUCAAUAGAAUAAAUUUUUUAUUAAAAAUAUAAUAGAGAUGUAUUGAUGACAUUAAAUAUUAUAAUUUUCAUAAAAAUCAUUUUUAAUCCUUUAAUUAAUGUGAAGAAAUGUCUAAUUUAAUUAGCAUGAAUUUGACAAUAUAUUUGAGUUAUCUUUUAAUUUUUUUUAACGAACUGACAAAAUUGUUUGAUGGUUUGAUAAAUAUUGUUUGACGGUUUGAUAAAUAUUUUUUUGAUAGAUUUUAGUAUUUUUUUGAAAUAUUAUUUGAAGUAACAUAAAACAUACUUCUAACUUUUAGUUUUUUAGUUUUUUUAUAUUUAUUUUCUUUUUAUCCUUGAAUAGUUAUUACAUUUUCCUUUUAAUUUCUUCUAUUUAAGAUAAUUUUUUUUUUUUACAUAUGAUAGGAUUUUCUCAUUUUUAUAUUUUUAUUAUAUAUGAUAUUGAUAGUGAUAUAUAACGAGUUUAUGUAGUUUUUUUUAUUUGGAUAUUAUAUAAAUAAAAAGCUACAAUUGCUUAAAAUUAAUUUAAUACUAAAACUAUAAAUACUACAAAAUAUAUAUUUAUCAAGAAAAUUAAAUUAAAAUUUGUAUAAAAAUAAUACAUAAAUAUAUUCAUUUAUAUAAUUUUAUAUUUUUCAGUCAUUUUAAUAAAUAAUUUUUUCAAAUAUAUGAUUUAAUAAAUAAUUUUUUUAACUUUCAACCAUCAAUUAAUUUUUAACUUCCCUCUAAUUUUUCAGCUUUAAAUUAAAUUUUCAAUUAAUUUUCAUCAUAGCCUUAAUUUAUAAUACUAAACUUAUACUAACUUUCUAACCUUAAUCACCACAGCUAUAAAAUUGAAAGGUUCAUUACUUUUUAAAUAAAAUAAAUUUCGUUGUCAUCAAAAGAGUUACAAUGACCCAACCAACUGCUAUCCACAACUUUUGCCAUAAAAAAUUGUCUUUUUCUUUUAUUUUCAGAACACAGCCCACGUUGUUAUAGAUAUGUUCUAAAAUACUUACAGGAAAAACUGCAUAAUAUCCUAACUAAGCAUAAAAAAUAGACCAAAUACUAUGCAAUUCUACCGUUUAGCAACAAGACUGAUUAUAAAGAGAUGAGAUCCUAUUCCCUUUGAUUAAGUUCUGCCGGAUAAGAAUUUUCUCCCAAAAAAAUGUCCCAUGCAAAUGCAAUUAACUAUUAAGUGUGUAGAGUGGUAUGUAUUUAUAUAUGUGGGCGCGUGCACAAAUGAUGUGGGUGUUUAAAAAAUCAUUACAUCUUUGAAAAGGAGAUAGGAGAUUAAUUAAAAGGGUAUAAAAAAAUAUGAAAAUAUAGAUAUAUGUAAUUUUUAUUAGCAUAUGGAAAAAUGUGCAGCAUAACUGUCUAGUUAUAGAUAACUUAUGUUUAUAUAUAUAUAUAUAUAUAUACACUUCCAUGGAAUUUAAGUUUUUAUAAGAAAAAUUAAAUGAGUGAUAGACGACAAUAUUAAAAUCCGUUGGUGGAAAGGUUUUAUGGGCAAAAUUGUACAUGCACAUGUACAUAAUUAGCAGCACCUAAUUCAAUUUAGUUUGAUUUGAUUGUAGUUAUCAUUGAUCAUUGAUAUCAUAUUAUUUCUUUAGAGAGAAUUGAUAUCAUAUUCUUAUUGACCUUUACAUAAAAAAAUUAUUCUUAUUGCACGACAUAAAAUUUUCAAGGAACCUACCUUUUCACGCAAUAAAUGUACAAUUAAACCCUACGAAUCUUUUUGAAUGACAUGGGUUUUGUAACUAUGAACAUGAUCUUAACUUAAGCUUUGUUAUUCAUAAAUCGUUAAUGAAAUCUUUGACCACAAUCAGAGAAGAGAUUGGUACGUAUUUCCCUCUUACCAAUCAAUGACAUGGGGUUUGUCAGUAUGCUAAAAACAGGUAGUGUUGUGUGCUCUACGCUGAUUAAAAAAAAAAGUGUUGUGUGGCCAUGAAAGAAUAAUUGCGUAGAAUCAGUACACAUAUAUGAUCAUUUGAAUGGAAGUCACUGAUAAAGUGAAUUGCACGUAUGUUCAAUCGGAACUGUACGUAAGAACCCAUUUUUUUCUAACAAAAUGGGGCGUUGCCGGUAGAUAAUAUCUUAAUUACUUGGCCACUUUCUCUAAAAAAUAGUGUACAGUUGCACAGUUGGUUUUUGUUUUUCGGCAUAUAAUGUGAAUUUAAUCAAUCAAACUACUGUAAAGUUUGUGAUUCUAUAUCAUUUUAUUAUUAUUAUUAUAAUUAUUAUUAUCAUUGGUGCUUACUUGUCACUCAAUUAUUAGUAUUUUUUUCAGAUAUAUAUGUCAUCUUUUUAUCAAGUAAUUGAACAGGGAAAGGACGGGUAAAAACAUAUAUUAAUUUUUAUCACCUAAUUUAUUGAUCACGAUUACCUCUACAAAGCCUAUGCGUGUGCAUUGCGUAAAUUCAGAAACCUCGCUGCUCAUUCAUCCAUUUACUUAUCGUCCUAUAUAUCUUCUAGAUCUACAUCUUGUAGAACUAAUAAAACUCAAGUCCCCAACCAAAUUUGUGACUACCUGCAACACUAAUUUACAACAAGGUCUUGUUAAUUUGAGACACCAUUGCCGGAUUCUAUAGUGAGAUCAAGCUACAAUGGUGAGUAGUAAUUAAUAUUAAUUUCCUACAAACUGCAAAAAAAUCAAAUGUCAAACCAAUCGAAAUAAACCUGAAAAAUUUAGAGCUAUUGUUUACUCGCGGAGUUGAGUUUAAAGAGGUGAAGAGUGGACAGAAAGAUUGGUCCUCUUUGUCAUAAAUAAGCUACAUCAUCUACAUGCAGCUAGAAGGUAGAAGGUGGCCAUAUUGCUGCACAACUCUGAAACCACGGUACGUGAGAACCGUUUUUAAUUUAUCUAACGCUAACAGAAGUAAAAAUUAAAAUUAAAAAUGGCUUUUUUUACCAACAGGGUGCAAUUUUUUUUUUUUUGGCUUCUUUUCAAAUGGGGACAGUUUUUACAUUAUUUCCCAAAGAAGGUAAAUUGAUGUAAUGAUGUAACACCUGUUUAUACUUUACUUUCUUUUAACUAAAGUUAUAAAUAAUUUUAUGAUUUUAGUGUAAUUUUCUUUUUUACAAUUUUAAAGUUGUAAGUUUUUUUUUUAUGACUUUAAAGUCGUAAGAUUUUUUUUAAAAAUGAAUUAUGACUUUAAAGUUGUAAUUCUUUUUUUUUAUGUUAUUUUUUUGUUUAUAUUUUAUUUUCUUUUUAAUUUUCUAAAAAUUGUAAAAAAAAUUAUUUAAUUAAUUAUUAAAUACAUAUUUAUAAUUAUAUUUGUUAUUAGUUUUAUUUAAUAUGUUAUUUAUUUUUUAUGGUUUUAUUUAAUAUGCUAUUUAUUUUUUUAAUGUUAUUUAUUUAAAAUAUAUUAUAUUUUUUUACUUAAUAUAUUUUGUAUAUUUAAAAUUUAGAUAAUCUUUUAAUAAUGUUAUUGAAAUUUAUCUUUUUAAAUGAAAUAUAAAAGUAACUUAAUGACAUUUUAUUUUUUUUAAUAUUUAUUUUAUUUUAAAUACUUAAAUUUUAAAAAGUAAAAUUUGAAACCAAAUAUUAAAAAAAAAUUAUUACUAAUAUUAAGUUAUAAUUUAUGAUGCUGAAUUAUUUAUUUUGUGUAAAAGAAUUUACUAUUAACAACAUGUAAUAAUUUAAUAAUAGAAGUAGUUGUUAAAUUAAAAACAACAUAAUACAUUAAUAUAAAAUGAACAAUACAGAUUAAAGAGAAAUAUAAAAAAUAGAAACUAUAUUGUUCAUUUUGUAGGAGUGAAUGACAUAAUCGUAGUAACUGUUUAUACAAAUAAGUAGAUAACUAAUAUAAUUUUUACUUUUUAUGUUUCUCUUUUAAGUUGUAUUGUUCAUUUUAUAUUAAUGUAUUAUGUUGUUUUUAACUUAACAACUACUCUUAUUACUAAAUUAUUACAUAUUGUUAAUAGUAAAUUCCUAUUUACACAAAAUAAAUAUUUCAACAUCAUAAAUUAUAACUUAAUAUUAGUAAUAAAUUUUUUAAUAUUUGGUUUCAAAUUUUAGUUUUUAAAAUAAAAAAAUUCAAAAAAAUAUAUUAAAUGUCAUUAAGUUACUUUUAUAUUUCAUUUAAAAUAAAUAAAUUUCAAUAAAAUUAUUAAAAUAUUAUCUAAAUUUUAAAUAUACAAAAUAUAUUAAAUAAAACAAUAUUAAAAAGAUAUAUUAUAUUUUAAAUAAAAAAAUUUAAAAAACAUAUAACAUGUUAAAUAAAACCAUAAAAAAUAAACAACAUAUUAAAUAAAACUAAUAACAAGUAAAACUAUAAAUAUUUAUUUAAUAAUUAAAUAAAUAAAAUUGUUUACAAUUUUUAAAAAAUUGAAAACAAAACAAAAUAUAAACAAAAAAAAUAACGUGAAAAAAAAGAAUUACAACUUUGAAGUCGUAAUCCACUAAAAGAAAUCUUACUACUUCCAAGUCGUAAAAAAAAAAAACUUAUGACUUUGAAGUUGUAAAAAAAAAGUUAUACUGAAGUCAUAAAAUUAUACAUGACUCAAGUUAAAAAAAUUAAAGUUGUAAUAGGUGUUAUAACACGAAUGAAUCUGGGUUUUUUAACUACGGGUCUAGCAAACGAAAAAUUGAAAUAGAACCCAAUCCAAUAAGAUCUCCCCCUCUCAAGAUCGGGCGUGAAGGUUUCCUUUCAUCCAACUAAAAUAGUUAUAUAUAUAUAUAUACACAAAGGAUUUUCACUUUAAAAUUUUAUAUCUAUAAAAAAUCUCUAAUCUAAAAGAAAAAGAUUUACUCUUUACUCAAAUUCUCAAAAAUACCAAUCAACAUUUCAAAGAUGUAUAUUCUCAAUUAAAACAGAAAAGAAAUGAAAAAUAAAGUUUUUGAGUAAUUUACUCCCCUUCGAAUGCCCAAUCUUUAAAAAUUAAUCAAUAAAAUUAAUUAAUUAAUUAAAAAAAUAACUCAGAAGUUGUAUCACCUUCUUUCGACUUAUUUCCAUUUAAGAAAUAAUUUAAAAACUACCUUCAUUUGGAAAAAAGCGAAAAAAUUUUUGUAUAAAAUCCAAUAAAAAUCGUCCACACUAAAUUGAACUGAUUUUGAAUGGUUUAAAAAGUUAUAUUUUUAGAAAAGGUAAAAUGAACGGUUUAUAAAGUUUCAUCAAAUUUAUGUUUUAAUUGAUCUUUUAUAACCUUUGUUGAGAUAAAUUCAAUGUUGCAUACAAAUUCUUUCUUUUUUUUUAUAACAGCAUACAGUUUUGUUUGGAUCAUUUAACUUAGAGCAAUGAUAUCAAUACAUAUAUAGUCAUACACAGAAAUCUCUUGCCUCAUGAUGUGACAACAAGGAUGAGAUGAAAAGUUAGUUGGUCUGAUGGUUGGCUGGAGUUACUCAGGUACGUCAUCGUGUGGAUAGUACUUGCUUUUUAAAAGUUUAAAAUCAUCGAGACUAAAGUUGAAUAUAUAGUGCAUAAUGCAUAAUGCAUAUUCUUAGACCUCACAUUCUCUCAUAUUAUCAUGAUAUGGUAUAGUAGCUGUGCAAAAUAUAAUUAUAAUCUAAUAAUAGAAUUUCACAAAAAAAAUUAUAUGUGUAUAUUCUAUUAUUAACAUUUAAAUAUAUUUUUAUUUUAUAAAUUUAUUGUAUUUUGUCUUAGUUCCUAAUAAUAUUUUUGGGUUUUAAUUAAAAUUUUUUUUUAUCAAUUCUAAAAAAAUAAAAAUAAAUGAUGAGUGAAAAAUAAAAUGUGGAAUUAUCAUUGUCAUGUCUUUAAAACUAUGGAUUCUCGGGUGGAAAAGGAAGCCCCAUUGUGAUGUGUAUUGCAGGAUAACAUUUGCAACUCUUUUAGAAAUAUUAUUGUUGUAUAUAUUCGUGAUGAUCUUAAACAAUUUGAUAUAUGUUUUGGUGAUCUUCAUGCUUUGGUAUUAUUUGGAUGAUUUGAACUCCACAACUAAUGUUGAUCAUAUGAUCAUAUUUUAUAACCACAACUUUCACUUGAGAAAAACGCUUUAUCUAGCAAAAUAAGAUGAAAAAAAAAAUAUAUCAAAUGUAUGAAAAAUCCAUAUAGAAAUUUUGUUGUUAAAAUUUUUAAUUAUUUAAGUUUGUUAUUUAAUUAUUUAACUCUUAAGCUAAUUCAUUUAUAUUUUAAAAAAUUAUAACAAUUAUAAUAAUGAAAGAUACGAGUAUAAUUUGAUACACAUUCUCAUCUCAUUUUCACUUAAAAAAUUCGAAUAAUACACAUACUCAUUAUCAAAGCCCGAACAGGUUAAAAUGAUACCCACGGAUACGAGUUUAUUCGUCAUCCCUACUCAUGAAAAUCUCAACUAAGUCAAAAUGACUUAAAACAUGUAUAAAAAAAAAUUCUUGAAGUUAAAUGAAUUAUGUUGAAUUUACAGGUAUUUUGGGAAAUUCAAAAUUUUAAACAAAAUUAUCUAGACAUGAUGUGCAUUUUAUGCAUAAUUAAUUACUUAAUCAAGUAAAAUUCAAAACGUACAAAAGAAAACAUAAGACAUUAAAAAUCUGCCCAAACCCUAUUUAGGGCAAUAAUUUAUACUUAAAACCUUAUUAAGGACUACUGAUAAGUACUAUGCAUACAUAAGUAGUAUACUAAAAUCACAUAGUAAUUAUUUAACUUUUCUCUAUUUCUACUACUUAUUUUGUGUAAGACAAUAAGAAUUUAGCUUCUUUUAAAUUUCAUCCGGAAGAUGCUAAAGUUAAGUAAAUAACCCUAACUUUGGUUGUAUUAUUGUUGAAGAGAGUAACAGAGAAAUAGAAGAACUUUUGAAGAACCAAUGCCUCGUGCUUAGCACGACAACCUCGCUUAGCAAGUUGGAGUCGCUUAGCUUGAAGGAAGUUGCUUAGUGCAAUGAAGCUUCAAUGGAAUACAAUUGUCACAUGCAAGCUCACUAAAUGUACAAACUUGCGGCUUAGCGCGAAUCCACUUGAUCCACUUGCCAUCCAACUGGACAUGCGUGUUCUGCGUGAGCACCGCACUAAGGGCACAAGCGCACUCUGAUUGACCAACAAGGAGGCAUGUUUCCUUAUAAAAGGAAAUGUAUUUAGAAGUAACAAGGGAGCUUAACGACAAAAAAACAUAAGGAGAAGCAUUCUAGUCCAUUGUCGGUGCAAGGAAAAUCCAUUUCUGAAGUUUUGGUCGAUCCUUUUCACUCUAUUCUUCCUCCAUUAAAUCCCCUAUAUUUUUAUCCACCUAUCUGCAAACCCCUCAUGAUAAUGAGAGACUAAAACUCCAUUGUGUUGGGUGCUAUGUAAUCCAAAACUCUCUAUGAUAUAAUGAUUAUGAACUAUCUUUUAAUAUGAUGUUGUUAUUACUAUUCAUCUCUGUGCUUAUUCACAUACUUAUGGUCUGAUCAUCCAUCUUUAUGUAUUGUUUUAGUAUAUGAAUAUUGAGAAAUGUUUGUAUGCUAAGAACAUGGGAAGGUUAUCUAAAGUGAGUCAGAUCUAGGAAUAAAGUGGUCUUCUUUAACCUGUUCAUGCAUCUUUAUUCCUAAUGCAAGUCAUUUAGUAAUCAAUCGCCAAGGAAUUGGGAAUGAUAUUAGGUGAUUUAGAUUCUUUCACUAGAGGGAUCUUGGUUAGAAUAAACUAGUAGAUGCGGGUGAUAAUCAUAUUAAUGUUAAAAGAGAAAAAUUAAUAAAAGAUAACAUCAAGAGAAGUUAUGGAAGCAGAGUCCCCAACAUGUCCACACUCAACCUCACCUUCCGAGCGUUUAUCUUCUCUCAUUACACACUUUGUUAUUAAGUCUCACAUUUAUUUAUGUUAAAUAUUGUUUCUAAUGCACAAAACUCUUUUCCAUUCAUUAAUUGCUUAAUCGGUAGGUAUACACAUAACUCUAAAUACAAGCAUAGUCUCUAUGGAAUUUGAUAAUCGGUCUUACCGUUUUAUACUACUUGUGCAACUUGGUACGCUUGCUAAGGAGACAACAACUACACAUGGAUGUAACUAGACGUUCAAAGACUCACACACACAUAUACACAAUUGUAGAAGACUAGCAGAUGUCACGUAGACUAGACAUCAAGAUUGGAUGCACGGAUUUACAAAGGGUAGUGCCUUUGCAAACCCCACAUUAUGGAGAAAACUACCUCAUACAGAAAUUUUGAUGAAACCAUGGUUGUUCCAUGAUAAUAUUUUAUUGUCCACCAAUUGGUUUUUGGCAUGUGUCAUCUUGACCUAAUGGUCAACGUUGAUAUCACAUUAUGUUAGGGAAUAUUAUUGGCUAAUCGCUUAGUGAUUAGAGAUAUCCACAGAAUUGAGCAUGCCACAUGCAUUGUUAUUAAACAUAUUUUGCAUUGUUUUAUGUUUAUGUUGUUGUGGAUAUAUUUUUAUGAUAUGACAUGUUAUCUUUUUUAAAAAUACUUAUAGCUUGGUUAUUAUUAUAUUUCUUGCUAUUUGUUCGAUUUAUUAUUAUUUGUAUAUUUGAAGUAUGUCAUCAUGCACAUAUUUUUGUUCAUCGUUAUUUUUGUAAGUUUACCCUUCUUAUUUAUUGUGUUUGUGUGAUGAUCUUGAAACUUAUGUUUGUCGGAAUAGGUGACACGAGCUCAAGAGAAUCUACACACCCUCUUCAUUGAGUAUACAUAAAUAUUUGUAGGAAGAAAUGAAGCGAGGCGUGCUAAGUAUAAUAAGUCAACAAGUCUAUUAUGCGAGCAAUGUUAUGUUCGCAAAUAUUCCUAUAAGUGUUCUUACCAUCUCAUUCUAACUCAACCUAUUAGUGGAACUAUGGUUGUUGAUAGAGGAUUUGUGGAGGGCUCCACACUACAUGCCUUAAGAUUGUAUCUGUUGGGAUUAUUAUUACUCGUAUAUUUGAAAUAUGUCAUCACACACAUAUUUAUGUUCAUCGUUGUUUUUGUAAGUUUGCCAUUCUUGUUUGUUGUACUUGUGUGAUGAUCCUGAAUUUGCGCCUGUCAAAACAGGUGACAUGAGCUCAAUAGAAUCUAGACACUCUCUUGAUUGAGUAUGCAUAAAUGUCUGUAGGGAGAAAUAGGGUGUGACAUGUUGACUAUAAUAGCUUACAAGUCUACUAUACAAGCAAUGUUACAUUCUCAAAUAUUCAUGUCAGUGCUCUUACCAUCUCAUUCUCACUUGUCCUAUUAGUGAAAUUAUGGUUGUCGAUAUAUAGAGGAAAAGUGGAGGGUUCCACAAUACAUGCCUCAAGAUUGUUUUGUUUCUUCAUUUGUUCAUGGUGGAUCUCAAUGUCGCUAUGUUUUAUGCACCACCAGCUCGAAGGAGAAAAACCCCUAGAAGGUCUCUCAAUAAUAGUAUGUUGGGUUAGAUGUUUAUGAUUAGGGUAAGGAAAUUUUAUUAAUUAUAGUAGGACCAUUUUUUCUCCCUCUUUAUUAUGUAUUUUGAUUUCUUCUUGGCACACCUUUUCACGAAAACAUGUGUGAGGCUUUUUGCUACUCGGUAUUACAUGUUCUAUAUAUAAUGUUGUAGUGUCAAAUUUUUGUUAUGGACGAUGAUAAUAUUGUUCAAUAAUUUUAAUUGUAGGUAUUCAAAUUCUACUUAUUUAAUUACUUUGCUUAUGUAUGAUGUUAAGUUAUUUCCGCAUUAUGAAAAUUUUGUAUACAAACAAGUCAACUCGUAAUAUACAGGAAUGGUGUUUUCUUAGAAUAAGCAUUUCAACCAAAUUGUUGCUUCAAGAUAUGAUGAUUUGAUUAUAUUCUAAUCAUCAUGGCUACAAUGUAUGUAAAAAAUUAUUCUAUUUCAAUUGAUUGAAAAAAAAAGAAGAUAUUUUCUUUAUCAACAAUAUCUUGUAUUUUUUUAAGUAUCAUCACAUCAUCAUCAUCAUCCUUUGAGUGUAAAAAUAAUUAUUUAUUCAAAGAUAAGUUUGACAUUAAGCAAUGUCCUUUAGGAAUUAGAUCAUACUAGAUUAUAGUUGCCAUUUAUUUUCUUUCAAUCUUUUUUUUUCAUCUUAUAUAUGUAUAACACUUUUUACUUCCUAGUACUAGUAAGGGAAGCAUGCACAUGCUGAUUGAACAUCAAUGACUUGUGUGUGUGUGUGUGUGUGAAUGAAGAAGUACUAGAGGUAGGAGAUAACAAAUCGGGCAAUAGAAGCCAAAAUGAGCAGUAAAGCUGCCCCAAAGUUUACCUUCCCCAUAACUGCGUGAUUUAAGCUAGUGACUGCUAUUUCUGAUGAACUAAAGAAAAGAGUUCCUCCAAUCCAAGGGACUAGCCACUGAACCCUCCGAACUCUGAACCCAUCUCACGUUAUGUACAGUAUUUUACAGAUCCAAGUGCAGAAUUCACCAGCAAUUAUUGCACCACCAUAUUCAACUGCACUCCAACUCAACAUACCCCUUCCCCUCCUAAAAAACAACCAAAGAAGACGUCAACAAGCUAUUCUAUUGCUAUGCAUGUCAAAAUUAUAUACUAUACUAUGCAGUAUGCAUAUAUACAAGGAAGCAUUAAUUACUAUUACAAAUUAAAACGUAUAUAAUUCAUUUUUUUAAAUAUUACAUUACCCCUUUCGUUAAUAAUGUUGGACUCUAAAUAUUAAAAUUUAAAAGUGUAUUUUUUAAAAUUUGAGAAACUAAAAUUCUUUUUUUCAAUUUGAAAAACAAAAAAUAAAUUUACUCCAAAUUUCAGGAAUUAAAAUCAUAAACAAGACAAAGGAAUAAUAUCCUAGAUUUGUUAUAAGAUUGAAAACAUGCGCAAUUUUUUUAAUAUAUAAUUUCAUUUCUUCCGUUUUUCUCUCCUCCCUUUUGAGAUAUCUCUUUUAUCCAAUUCUCCUCUAGUAUGUAUGACACAAUACUCCUCAGCUCCGCAAGAGCCAACUUCUAUCUUUUAACAUAUAAAAUUAGUUAUUGUAUUUUUUUCUAUAAUGAAAACAUAUCUUCUAAUGUAGAAAUGUGAUUCAGAUCAAUUAAAACAUAAUUCUAUAUUAUAUUUAAUAAUUCAAAAACAAUUUGACUGAAAUUAAUUUUAUCUAAUUUUAAACCAAAAAGAUAGUAAAUGUAAAGGUGCAACUAAAUCCCCCUUCUGUCAAACAGUCAAACUUUGACGAAGGAUCUAGGCCGUUCAUCGCUGAUAAUUGGGAUAAUACUGCUCAAUUUUUUACUCUCUUUUUUGAAUUAUAAUUUUAAUUAGACAAGGAAAAAACACUUACCCGAAGUAGGACAUAUGCAACCUUUGACUUUUAGAUCUAAGAAACCCCUUUUACUAUUUUCGAAGCGUUCCAAUAUUUUUGUCUCUGUAAAAUACUACUAUAUAUAUAUAUAUAUACAAAAAUGUCAUAUACAAAGAACUAUUUUAUCUUUUUGAAGGAAGCUGCAAAAUUUUUCAAACACUUUUUUUUUUGGUUUUUGGUACCAGGAUUGCUUUAUAAAGUAUAUAUUUGAUAAACAAAAGAAAAAUUUAUUAACAGGUUACAGACUACAGUUCUUUGUUGUGAUAUUAAUCAUUAAUGAUUCCAAAAUUUGCCGUUAUAUGUAUCUCAUAAAAAUUUACAACAUUGGGCGACUGAAAUUGACUAUAAGAAAAUUAAAAGAGAAAAAAAAACAAACAAACAAAACUUCAGCUUUAAUAUACAGAUAUUUAGUAGGCUCAUGUAUACCUAUAAAACUUUUAGCUUCCGCAUUAAAGUAUUAAUAAAGAAACAUCUAAAACACGUGUUUAUCCUUCGAUAAAGAAAGUUUCUGAAACAAUGAAUUGACUGAAAAAAUUUAGUGCUCAAUUUCCUGGGGACCAAUAUACUUUUCCUCCGCAUUAAUUCCAAUUAAUUACACAAUUUGAAACACCUUUAAAUAGCUUAAUUGCUCGCAAUUUUUUCCAACAUGCUUCCCCAAUUAUUAAGUGUCAUAUGCAUGCUGUAAAAUAUAAAAUUCAGUUCCUUCCUUCCUAAACUUAAAUCUUAAACACUGUUUUACACAUUCAGUCAGUGAUCAAUCUCUCUGCUACCAGCAAUAAAAAGAGAAAAAAAGCUGCUAAGUUUACUUGUUAUGGGCCUCUUAUUUUGAAUUUGGACCUUCUCCAUAGGACUCUAGAGAACAGAUGCAUAAAGAUUACAAGUCCCUUUGUCAAAUGUUUUGCAAAAUUAACAACCUCGUUUAUAAUAUUUUGAUUUAUUCUUAGUAUAAAAUUGAAUUUAUAAUAUCAUUUGCGCAUGAAUUUUGCCACAUCAUAAAAAAUUGACUAUGUUUCAUUAAAAAAAUUGACUAGGUAACAAUUAUUAAAAUGAAAUGCUAUAACAGAAGAGGAAGAUGUGAAUCAUGCAUGCAAACUAGAGGGGGACCAAGCUAGUGAAGCUACCAUCCCCUUUUCCUGCUUGUUAGCAAUAGUUUCAUUCUUUCAAUAAUGGAGUUUGAAAACGACGCUAGAGAAUAAAGAAAUGCCUGCAGAUUGUCAUUUUUGUUUACGUACAAAAAGGGUAACUUUUAUCAAACGCGUGUGUGUUUUGGAGGGAGGACUUUUCCCAUAUCUCUCUUAUAUAUGUAAAGAAGAGUAGCCCCUACGGCCUUAACUAUUUGUCCUUCACGAAACGAGUAUAACAAGUACGUGAAGUGAAAGUUGGUAAACAUACAAGUUGUGUUAUAUCUUUUUUAUGAAUGAAUUUUAAUUGUUAAUUUUAUAAAUUAUGAUUAACAAGGAAAUUGAAUCCGUCAUCUUUAUUUUUAUUUUUUAAUCACUUAAUUAAUCUUAUAUCUCAUGUAAAUGACACACAGUAAAAUGAUUUUAGUUUUUAUGUAUAUUUAAAUGAAGAAGAAAAAAGCAAGUAAUAAAAGAUAAAAUAAUAUAUAAAAUUUAUCAUAAUGUCAAAAAAUUAUACUAGUAUUUAAAUAAUGUAACUGUAACAAAAAUCUCACUUCCGAACAGAUGUAAUAUGACUCGUGACAAUCUAAAGGCUGCGAGGAUUCAAGCGUACUAUACGCUUUUUUAACUAGUAGAUUUGCUUGAGAUUGUUUUUCUUUAAAAAGAACCCUUUUGCCAGGAGUUGAGUAGUAAUUUCAUUUUUUUCAUUUUCUUAAAAAAAAUAUUAGCCAGUCUUUAAUUAGUGGGCAAUUGCUUUCUCUUCUACAAUCUUAAACACAUUACAAUGCCCUAAUUAAUUAAUUAGUUUUAAAGUAUCGUGUUCUUUGUAGCAACAACAUUAAUGAUGAUUUUCUUCCAAUUGUGGGGAUUGUUAUCAUCAUGUAAUUAUUAAGCAUCAUUGAGACUGGAAAAUAAUCUGGUAUACAAUAAUUAAGUCUAUUUGGUUAAUUAGUUGGAAAUCAGACACUUUUUUUUUCAGUCCUUCGAUCUGAUGGAUGUCAUGGAACUGAUUAAUGUACGAUCGAUCCUUGGUUGUGCAUUAAAGACAGUAAGUCAAUAUAUAGGUUUUUCUUACUCAUUUUUCCCAUUGUUGGUGUGUCGAUCCUAAGAUAUAAUAUUUGUGUUUUGUCAGAUUUAGUUUAAAUGUGAGUGUGUGUUGUUUUGCAAAAGCAGUUGUUCAGGAAUAUAUUGGGUGAGAUAAACAAAUCGGUAAAUUGGUGCUUUUGUUGAUAGGUCUGGGUGGAUUAAUUAUUAUGGCUUGAGUUGUGAUAUGUGAAUACUCCAGUACUGCUCUCAAUAUCUCAUUAACCAUUGUUCAUAGUAUCUGCAUCUUUUUUGUUAUCCCUCCUGAUGUCAACCAGAGAAGUGUCCACUCAUCUUUAUCCCUGUGGUUUUUUUUUUUUUUUUACUUAUAACAUUAUUGAUACAAAAUAUCUAUUAACUCUGAUGAUUAAUUUUUGUUUAAAAAUUUAACUAACUAUUUUUAGUAGAAUCAUUUUUUUCCAUCGUCAUGAUUUAUAUAGAACUGAUAUGUAAGCUGUUUUGCAUAAUAUAAAUGGAAAUGUCUACUUUUCAAAGAACAAAAAUAAACAUUGAAUAGAAGUUAAUUUGAAGGUUCGUAACUAUAAAUCAAACACACUAUAUGUAAUUCAUCCCCAUCGAUCGCACCACAGUUGCACAGCAUGCAUCCCGUCCAGUGUCCACCUGUUGUUUGUUCGUUCAGCCACCUUCCUGUCCAUACAUCACGAGUCACAACCAUUCCUUCGUCUACACAGCCAUGUGUACCUUCUCUCCACCCGAUUCACCAUAUCAUUUUUUUUUAGCCUAACCAACUCAAUAAUUUGAUUAAUUACUUCUAAACUUUUUUAAAGGGUACUUUUUAACUUUUAAAUCAAUACAUUUUAGACUUUUUUGUAAGCCAAGUUUUAAGUUUUAAUUGAAAUAAAAAAGAGGCAAGCUUAAGUACGUGCAAAGUGUGCAAAAGCAACACAUUUUAGACUUGAACUUAAUUUGUUCUUAACUUUUGUUUUUUCUUUUUUUUUUUAAUUUACUUUGAUCUUCUUAUCUUAUUUAGUCCUUCAAAUUUAUUUUUUUAUAUUUGAUCCCUGAAAUUUUUAAAUCUUUUCUUUUAAGUUCUUUAUUUAACUCCGUUAAUAUUUUAUAUUAAAUGUACGCUACAUCUUGUUGCAGAUAGAUAAUGUAGCUGAGAAAAUUGUUACAGUCAAUUCAUCGGCCGAUGUUUGUUCCAAGAAUUAGGUUUGACAACAACAAAUGUAAUAUUUGAAUUUAAUUAUAUGUACUUAUUUGGAAAUAAUAGAGUUGCAGACAUAAAAAAAAUUUCUAUUCUUGCAGGCACACUGAAUGUUAUUGCUAGAAAUAAAAAUGUUAAUAUUGGAACAAUUGUUGUUGUAAACAUUUAAUUGAAAAAUUAAUGGAGUAAAAUAAAAGACUUAGAAGGAGAAUUUUGAAAAUUUCAUGACCAAAAGUAAUCAUAUUAUUUUUGGAGGAUUAAAAUUAAUAUAGAUCUUUGGAGCACCAAAAUCAUAUCUAAUCCUUAAUUAAAUAAAAUGCUCAUUGUUGCCAAUUAAAACAUUUCUUAUCAUAAAUUAUAUUUUUAAUAAACAUAAUUUAUUAUUUAAUAAUAUUAUUUAUACAUUUCCAUUUUUAAAUCAAAGUAAUAAUAUUUGUACAUUGUAUGAGAAGUUUCUUAAUAAGUUAAUAACAAUAAAAAGUAUUAUUUAUUUUCUAAUCUGUUGAUUAUAAAAUAAUACGUAAACUAUGAUAAAUGUAUAACAUUAUUAGAAACUGAAUAAAAAAGUUUAAUAUUUCAAAAGAUGAUAAAUAACUCUUUUUUUUAUUUUCCAAACGAUUUUUUUUCUUAUCAUGUGAUUGAUAGUUCAAUACGAAAUAAUUUCGUCCAAAAUAAUGAUUAAUUUUCAUCCGAAGUAGAGAUGAGUAUUUUUCUAAAACUUAUAUAGAUAUGAACAAUUUUAUUUAUAAAAGUAAAUAAGAGAAAAAGACGGAGUAAAUACAUUACAGUAUUACACGAUCAAGAGGUCGUUGCAUUUGCAUGUUUCAUGUUUGUAUUCCACCGAAGAAGGUGGAAUCGUGCCAACGCUAAGCCCCAAGCAGAUCUUCGUUAGCACAAGAAAACACGAAUACGAUCAUUGACUCCGUACUCUCUCACCGAUGUGCCGUGUCUUCAUAUAUAUAUAUAUAUAUAUAUAUAUAUAUAUAUAUAUAUAUAUAUAUAUAUAUAUAUAUUAAGUAAAUAAAGAGAAGUUUAAUUUUAGGUUUACAUCCAUAUUUGUCCUUAUAGUUUUUUUUUAUCACUGUCCUUAUAGUUUAAUGAUUGUACAACUCUUUAGUCCCUAAAAAAAAAAAUUAUUGGACAUUUUGUUUCUCUUGUUUUAAAAAUUUAGUCAAUCAUUAGUUUGUUCUCAAUUUUUUAGAAAAAUUGACACAUCUUAAUGAUGAUAUAACUAAAAAUUUGGACGAUUAGCAUAUAUGUCAAAUAAUUAUUUUAUUUAUUCCAUCAAUAUGUUAUUGUUACGUCAUCACUUAGAUAUUACAUCAAUAUAUUUUAAAAAAAAAUUGAUGUCAAACUAACUAUGGACUAAAAUUACUAGAUUUUACAUAUUUUGGAAAAUCAAAUGUGCAAUAAAAUUUUUCAAAUGAUCAAAAAUCACACAAUCAUAGAACUAUAAGAAUUAACCAACAGUAAAUUUGAUUUAAAAGUUAACUAAAAGUGAAUUUAAGCCUUAAUUUUAUGUAUUUUACUUUUAAAAGAUUUUGAAAAAAUAAUUCAUCUACUAAUCAUGAAAAAAAAUUCAACUUUCAUCUAAUCACAAAUUUAUAUAUAUGAUGAAUUUAUUCUUUUUUUAUAUAAUAAUUAUCUUAAAAAUCAUAAAUAUCAUUAUUAAUUGAUUGGUGAUAUAAAAAUUUUGAUACUAAUGAUGAGUAAAAUUUAAAUUAUAUUUUUAUGCAUUUUAAUGUAAAAUAUUAGGUUAAAUAUCUUUUACGACCUUGUAAAUUAGAGUUUUUUUAUUUUCAUCCUUGUAAAUUUAUUUUUUCGUUUUAGUCAUUGUAAAGUAUGUUUGUUUUAUUUUUUAUCCUUAAAACACUUUAGAUAGUGUUUUUUUUUACUAUUCAAAAUAUUUUUUUACAAUUCAAAGCGAUAUUUAAAGUGUCUUAGGGACAAAAAACAAAAUAAACACAUUUCGUAAGGACUAAAAUGAAAAAAAUAAUUUUGCAAGGAUGAAAAUGAAAAAAGGUUAAAUUACAAGAACGAAAAAUACAUUUAAAACUAAAAUAUUUUAUAUAUUAUCAAUUAAUUAAAAAUCAUGAUAAGUAUAACUUUUUUUGUUGUAAAAUGGCAACAAUAAAAAUCAAAUUUAACCCCACAUGUAUAUUAUUUAAAAUUCCUAUUAUUAAACCAACCCUAAUGGUCAUUGUAACUUUUGAAAUAAUCAUUGUAAAAGUUAACAAACAUGUCAUACAUAUCAAUUUAUAAUUAAAUAAUACUAGUAAGAUAAAACUAUUUACACUAUUAAUAAAUACAUUGUUUACUUAAAAAAUAAUUUAAAUAUUUUUUAUAUGUUAAUGUAAUUACUAAUCAUCAUAUGAUAAGCUUGUUAAUUUUUAUAAUAAUUAUUUAAAAAAUUACGUUAUAGAUGAAUUAUAAUAUCAGAAAAUCUAACUUAAUUGAUGGUGUAAUAUGCUUAAGUUGUUGUAAAAAAAUUUAUACCAAAGUUUGACUUCUCUCUAUGAAAAAUAUAAAAAGAUGAACUCCAACAUGAUAACUUUUGUCUUUUUAUACUAAUAACAUCAAAAUUUCAGAAUAAAUUAUAAUUUUAGUUCCUAUUUAAUUCAUCAUCCACAAUAUUACUCACAUUUUUUCUAGUGAUUUUACUUUCCAUAUUUAAGAAAAUAUGCAACUUUUGUCCUUUAUUUUAAUGAUUAUUAAUAAUGUGUCAGGAUUAUGAUGAGGGGGAAAUAACACUUAAAAAUUAACAAAUAUUUUAAUUAAUUAAAAUGUAAAAAGAAAGUAAAAUUUAGGUUGGGUUGAAUUUGGAUUUUUAUUUUACUUUAAAAUAAAAAAAGAUGUAAAGGGAUAAGUUGGGUUGGAUUUGUGAUUAUUAUUAUUUUUUAUCUUAAACCCAACUCAAUCACAAACUAAUUGAUUUGGUUAAUUCAACUGGGUCUUAACAUUUAAAUUUAUUCUAAAUUUUUCAAAACUAUAGUUGUAAUAAGGACUCUUAAAAAAAGUUGUAAAAAGGAAAGAAAAACAAACGCUGCAUCACAUGCACCAUACUUAGAUGAAGAUAAAUACAAUGUACUCAAAUAAUAAUAAUAGUAAUAGUAUGUUAUAUCAAUAGGUCAAUGGAUUGAGUUUAUGGAUUCAAAAAUUCAAAACAUGUAACCAAACCUAUACACAAGAACCGGUUUGCUAAGCUGAGUUUGACCCAAAACUAGAAAAACCAACCAAAAUAAUUCAGUUGAUUUAGAUAAUUAAAUCAAGUUUGUCAGUUAUUCAGAUUCAUUAAUCCAUCCAUUAAUACCCCUAUAAUUAUAAUUUGUUCGCUUGAUAUUGUAGUUGAAAAAUUACUUGAAACUACACAUACUUUCACGUAAGUGUAUCGUGACAGGAUCCACAUCCAUUAGAAAUAUUCUGUCAAUGUAACAGCAGAUAAUGGUGACAGAUGUGCAUGUGGGGCUUUGAAUUGACUCUGAAGGGUCGAAUGUGGGUCUUUUUUUUUAACACUCUCUUCAUAUUCUUUUAAAAAAAAUUAUGAUGAAAGUACACGACAAAAUUUCCAUCUGAAUUAUUUUAAAAGAAAAUCUACACCUUAUUUUCAGAUGCAUUGAAGUGAAGAGAAGAGAUAAAUAUUAAAAACAUAAAGAAAGAUAUAAUAUAAUAUGAUAGAAAAAUAAGAAAACAAAAAUAAAAAUAGAUGAAAAAGAAUUGAAUAUAUGUUUAUAAGAGUUGUUUUUUAACUAGUUAAAAUUAAUUAGUGUCUCAUUGGAAUGCAGUUAGCCGAAACAUAGUACGAGAGGUGUUAGAAAACAUUGACUCUUGAUUUGGUUGUGUUCAAAUUGAGAAGAAGAGACAAGAGAAACUUUUUAAUUUUUUUGUGUGGAUCCUACAUUUUACUCCCGUGUGAGAUUUAAGAAAUAUUGAAAGUGAAUUUAUAAAAAGUUGAAAUAUCUUUUGUAAUUUAAUAUUUUUUUCUUGUAAAAUUAUUUUUUUUUAUUUUUAAUUCUUAUAAAUUAUAAAUUAUGUUUAUUUUAUUUUUUAUUCUUAUAAUGAUUUAGAUAAUAUUUUUUCACUGUUUAAAAUGAUAUCUAAAAUAAUUUAAGAAUUAUUUAAAAUGAUAUCUAAAGUAAUUUAAGAAGUAAAAGACAAAAUAAACAUAAUUUAUAAGAAUUAAAAAUAACUUUUUUUGAUAAGGAAAUUUUUUUUUAUAAAGAACUAAAAAGAUAUUUGAGCCUUUAUAAAAUAUUUAUAUAACUGAGAAUUAGCUAUGAUCAAGUUUAUAUCUUUAAUAAUGUUUCACAAGAAUACUCCCGUGUGAGAUGUAAUUUGGAAAACAAUAGCUUCCAAUAUGAGGAGUCGUUCGCGCAAUUGGGUUGUCUUCUUUUCUUGAGACUCGACCUGGAAUUUAGGCAGCACAAUUGCACAAAUUGUAAAGUUAGCCCAGAGAGAACGAGGGAGGUUGGCUAUUGGUCCCACUGCCCUUGUUAAUGGCCAAGGGGGUUGAAUCCUUUUUCUUUCUUCUCUUCCUGAAAAUAUUGUUUUUCUGAAAACAAGAUGGUGUUGUACAAUUAUAUAAUGAAAUUGUAUUUUCAUUAUGUGAUGGGGUGCCAAAAAAUACAUAAUAAAAAUAUAAUUUUGUUAUAUAUUUAUCAGUAAAAUCAUAUUUUCUUUAUAUUAAAUGGCUGAAAAAAAAUAAACAAGAAAAUAAGAUUUUGUUGAAACAUUAUGAUAGAAUCAUAUCUUGAUUAUUGGACGAAAUUGUAUUUUAGUUGUUAUUUUAACAAGGGUGGUGUGCAGCUUGGUGUUGUAGUGUGCGUGAUGGUUGGACAUGUGUUGAUGAGAACGGCACGCGACAUUGUUGGGAUCGUGGUUGUGCUGCGCGCGGCUGACGUUGGUGUUGUGGGGCGACAAUGAUGGAUCGUUGGGUUCAGAUCUUGGGGGGUAGGGAAGGUGAAAGAGAAAGAGGAGGUUUUGCAUUGAAGGGUAAGAGGGUUUUUUCUAAUAUUUGUAGGGAGCAAUAACAAAGGCUCUAGGAUCAAUAUCAAUUCCCAAUAAUUCAUCAUUCAAGCCUUAGACUUUUGGCAUAUAUGGGUUCACCAUGACAAGAUCAAUUUGUUGUCCAAAGUUAGGAAAUGUUUUCAACAAAAAAGAAAUUAAACCUAUUUUUCCUCCAAGUUUCUCCCCUAUUCAAAGCAGUGAGAUUAUCACUAAUGCAGUAAGAUAUGUGAUAAUUGUCCGUUUUUAAAAAAGAUCUUUGACGAUUGUAUGUCAAUUUGAUAGAAAUUCAUCCCUUUUCUUUAUCAAUUUGUUGAAAAUUCAAAACAUGUAAACUAGUUUAGUUAAAACAAAUAAUAGAAUCAUAACAUAAAUGAUAGAUAACAUUAUUCCUUAGUAUGUAGCAAAAAAUUUGAUAUUUGAUUUGUACUAUAAAAGAUCUGUUGGAAGAGAUGAAUCCUUUAAAAUUUAAAUUCAUCUCAAGGGAUACCUGGUUAAAAAAAAAAAAUAGAAAUGUCAUUUACCAAUUUUUUAAUAAUAAUAAAAUAAAAUUAGAUCUGACAUGUGCACAUGUUUUGUAAAAGCUACUUCUCUAAAUGUCAAGAAAGUGGGCCGUUUGAAAAGCACGUUAUAUAAUUAAGCAAUUAAGCGGGCCUUGGGCCAUGAAGUACAAUGGGAAUAAAGCAUUCACAUGGUCCAUCCAUCAGGAAGAGAAAUUAUUAUUUUAAUUUUAACGGCGGCACCGACAUUCGUUUUUGUUACCGCGUAAAUCAAACGGAAUUAUAACUCCACCAUCAAUGCUAUAUUAAUCGCGAGAAAGAGACAGAACCUGUUUGUUUGUUUGAUGUUCCUUCCUUGCGAUCCAAGGAGAAGUAAGAAUCGUUCAGAAGCUCGUCACCAUGGCUUUGUUAGCAAUAUUGGGUCAUAUAUAUAUAUAUAUAUAUAUAUAUAUAUAUAUAUAUAUAUAUCACAUAAAUUGAAUAAGUUAGAGUCAUUAUAUAAUUAAUCAAAAUAUUAAAGAGGUCUUAUCAAUAUAAAAGUAUGGCAUGAAAGGUUUCUAUUGUGUAAAUACCAAGGUUAUAAUUCCAUGUGUAGAGAAGCAACAAGUACAGUUUAGUUUUUCUCUUUAUCCCAUCAAUAAAAUUCAGAGAAAGAAAAGAAAAGGGUUAUGUGAUUAGGAUUGAUGAUUGAUUGAAUCUCAAUAUUUGAAAUUGAAUCCCAACAUUUAGUACUAGAGCUACCCAUACUUAAUUCAUGUAUGAUGUUUGGAGAACAUACACACACAUUAGUUAUAGUGUUUUUUUUUUUAGGAAACAAAUAAGAUUAUCACAUUACCACGGGAUGAAUAAUGAUAUAAAGCAUUUGAUAUAAAUUGUUCUUACUUUUAGAGGCUGCUGUAUAUUAAAAUAAUAAUCAUGGGCCUCUAAAAUUUAAAAUAAAUAAAUAAAGUUAAAAUAAUCCAUUUAACAAUCCGUCCAUAUUCACCCUCAAUAUUCUCCCCAGAUGGUUCCCACAGCUGACGUAUGGCUAAUUUUAUAUUGGAACCUACAAUCUUCUUAUUAUCCUUGUAACUGAAGUACUGGCUCUUAAAUAUGUCAUCAUAUUUCUUAAAUGCUUUGAGACUGAAUUUAGGACCAGGUUCAGACUUACAGUCACAUUUUUCAACAUUCUGGUUAUUUGGAAUGCUGGUGUUUCUAUUACCAAGCUGAGAGUCUAAAGCUACUUUUACAUCUCUUUUUCUCUUGGUUUUUGUAUUUCCAUGAGCACUAGCCAUAGUUUCUUGUGCAUGCUGAACUUGGUGUCCAUCAAUUCGCUGAAUCUGAGCAACAAAUUCAGACUUUUCUAAUAUGUUCUUUUUCUCAAGAGAGCAUGGUGGUUUCCAGCAAGUGGGAGGGACAAUAUGGAAAAUUCCAUAAGGUUCUGCUCUGGAACAUAUGCUUGCAAUAUAUUUAAGUGGGUAUUUGAAUUCCUUCAUAAUGUGCACAAUUCUUCAAACAUUUUAUUCUACAAUCUUAACAAUCAUAAGAAUCCACAUUUGAUGACAUAAAUUAAGAAAUGUGCAUGAAAACAGAAGAGUGUUUCCAUGUACACGUCUUCUGUUGGGUGGUAGGUACCUCUUCUGUUGGGUGGAAAAUAGGAGCUUCUUCCAAAACUUCUCUUAUGGUGCAUCCCUAGGAUGCCACCUUGCUGUUACCUGGGUCAAGACUUUGAUAAACAAAAAAAAAAAAAGGAGACAUGGUCAUGACUGUUCAAGGAAAAGUGAAAGGUACAUACAUUCUCACAAUUACUGCAAUUCAAAAGGUUGUAGAUUUAUCACUUUUCUUAACAUUUCCACCCUUUUCAAAAUAAAAGAUGUCAGGGAUGUAAAACCAGAGGGAACUGAAAGAUUGUCUCUCUUCUCAAAUUUGGUGCAAUCCUUUCCAUAUUCACUGCAGGCAAAAGCCAAGCAAAUAUUAUCUAGAAAACCAUUUUUAGCACCAAUGGGUACUUGGAAUAGAAAAUGAAAUAUUGGGAUAGAAUGAAUGAAACAUGAUUGCUGACAAUUUUCUACCCCGAUAGAAUUAUUAUUCACUCAACAGUUCGAAAUUCAAACCAGUACAACAGCUCAAUAAAACAUCCAACAUUUCAAUAGGAGAAGAGAAGUGCAGACAGAAUAGGAAAGUGUGGACAAAGAAACCAAAAGCUAACGAAAUUCAACUGUAAGUAUUGAUGAUACAGAAGUUGUGCAUCUUAACAUAGAGGACACAGAAGCAACAUUUCCAAUAAUGUGUCAAUGAGUGAUAAAAAAAUUAGACACUGUUUUAAGUUAAGAAUAUAUCAGAAACAAGGUAGUCAAACUCAAGAUUUUACUCAGACUUGGAAAGGGGAAACAGAAUCGUAAAUCAGGGAAUCAUAACACGAAGCGUAAGAUUCUACAAGAUUCAUGAAUUCAUAUUUCAUAUAUAUGCAUAUAACAGCAUAAAUAAGAGGAGGGGGGGUGGGAGGGACCUUUAUAGCACACAUCAAAUACUUAAUUGAGCUUAAAUUCAUAAGCAUAUGAAGUCAAUAAAUAAGGUCAUAAAUGACAAACAAAACAACUUAAAUACUGCAGUACUGCCUACUGCGAGUACAAAACACCAGGACAUGAACAGACAGAGAACUGAACCAGACAAACAGAACCAGAACCCAAACAAUAGCUCACAGAAACAGAGAAACAGAACCAGGUUAACAGAGCCGCAUAUUAACAGAACAGAACUGGUUUAAAACAAAGAGCUCGGAUGUGGUGGAGAAAAGCUCUGGAUGUGGCAGAGAGGAGCUCUGAUCACAUUGCAUUUCUGUAGCAAUUUUGGGGGAGAGCUGCAAGAGGUUGAAGACACACAGUCACGAAGAAAAGAAGUGUUUUUCUUGGUUCUUUCGGUCUAAGGGCUAGUGAACACUUGGCUUUUGGGCUUGGGUUUAUGGGCUUAGGUUUGUAGAAGCCCAAAAAAACUUUGAAACCCAACCAGCCAAGCAGAAUCAAAAACUCUAAAAUUCUACUGAGUUUACAAUUCUACGCUGUGAUUCUACCAAUUCUACUCAUUUACGAUUCUGAGCACAUAUACACUCGCCCAGGUACUAGAGAAGCAUAGAAUUGUGUGAUUCUACGAGUCAGCCUGCAAUUUUGACUACCAUGAUUAGAAUUAAUGAUGUGUAAUAUUAUUUCAUUUUUUUUAUAAUUAAAACACAGUUUUGUAAUUAUUGUUUCUUGCACUUCUCUGCUUUAGUGAACAAGAA